AAAAAAAAAAAGACUUACUGGUUAAUAAUGACUUUGUUCUCGAUCUAGUGAUCGUUUGAUCUUGUGGAAAUGUUCUAGACACUUCUUCUUUCAAAGGUGGAUACAAAUUCUUUUUGUAAGACGAUAUUAACGAUUGUUUCACGGAGUUUUGUUCUUCAAGCCGAUCUAAUCUUCCAUUUAUUUCGACUUGAUCAUAUUGUUUUGUAUCCGAAGUAAUUCCUGCAAAAAUAUAUUCCAAACAUGCAUUAAAAAAAAAUCAAGAAUUGUAUACUAUAUAUAUAGAGAGUCAAAAGCAGCAUAUUAUAACCACAAUAUUAUUUAUCCCACUAUUAACAAACCUUUUGUUUCUCUUUUAACACUGAUUUAAAUUAAAAAGUGACAAAACUUUUGUUUCUCUUUUAAAACUGAUUUAAAUUAAAAAGUAUACAAAGAAUGGGAUAGAAUUGUCGUUGUCACAUAUCUCAUGAUGCACAAGCAAAUCAAAAGAAAGUGUGUAACUUUACACCCGAAGUUAGCUGUUUCAAUUUUUUUUUCCCUUUCAAACUAUAAAACAUAAAUGAAUUUCGAAUAGAUUUUGUACCUACCAUGAAUCGGGACAUGUAACGGUUUGUGCUAGUGGCGUAGCAGUGUUAAUUAUAACUCGGUGGCGUAGUAUGCGUGUAUGAAUUGUGGACGAUAACUAAAAAAGAUUUAGUACUUACCGUUAGCAAGAUCUAGCACAAAGUCAGCCGGGUUAACGAAACUGGAUCCGGGUUGAUACCCAAUUGAACCAAGAUACUCCAUGACCCGACCCGAAUUCCCACUAUAAAUAGGACAUCCUUCUGAUAAAACCAACACUUUAUCAAACAUCCGAUAAAGCCGACUCGACGGCUGAUGAAUCGUCGUAACAACUGUCCGGCCGCCGCGUGCCAGCGAUCUCAAGGUGGCGACUAUUCGCACCGCCGUGGUUGAAUCAAGCCCCGACGUUGGCUCAUCAAGAAGCAACAAACUUGGGUUCACAAGCAUUUCUUGUCCAAUACUUACCCGUUUUCUUUCCCCACCGGAAAUUCCUCGGAUCAACCCGCCUCCUAUUACACUGUUACAACACCGGGUCAACCCAAGAUCCGAAACCACUGUCUCCGCCUGCUCUAUCUUCUCUUUCCGGGUCAGCUCUUUAGGUAAACGGAGCAAAGCCGUGUACGUUAGCGUCUCCAUGACCGUUAAGUGUGGGUAGAGAACAUCGUCUUGUGUAACGAACCCCGUUUUCCGUUUAACGGAGCUUGUAAACGGUUCUCCGUUAUAGCUAACGGUUCCUGAUAGCUUCCCUUGUAAACGUCCGGCCAACGCCGUUACUAGCGUUGUUUUGCCACUCCCUGAUGGACCAAGCAUUGCUAGUAACUCCCCUGGUUUGACUAUACCACUUACACCGUUAAGGAUUAACCGGUUCGGUUUUGGUUCUUGUGAACCGAACCAAUAGCUUCCUUUCCCGGUUUGUGAUUUUAUACUGUACGACAAUUCCUCAAACUGCAUUACAUACACAAAUCCAACGAAAAAAAUUUAUAACACGCAAAAUAGGAAAAUUACAUAAUUUAUGAUAUAUAUAUUAAUUUCACGACCUUGAGGAUUAUAGGACGUAAAGAUUGACGUAGAACAGAAGACUGUCUUGAUUGGUGACUCGGACCGUCGUGGUCAUCGUCAAGGCAUGGGAUUACAUGACUUGGAGAGCUAAGCCGGUUAUCUUGAACCGGACUAGUUUCGUGUCGGUUUGCGCCUGGUGUUUUCGGAAAGCUAGAUUCUUGCUCAUUAGGAGGCAUCAUCUAGAGAGAAAAAGAGAGAGGGACGAAGAGAGAGAUUUGGUGUGUUGUGUUGAGAAGUUCACAUGUUAUGCGAUGUGUAUAUAAAGGAAAGAAGUGGGGACUCUUAUAACGAAGGGAAAAUUAACUAGGAGAGAGAGACUUUAUUCAUAAGUACUCAUAAUGCAAUAUAAUUAAUUUUCCACUUUUAAAGUAGAGAUAAUGUCAACUUAUAAUUAUUUAUACAGUUUCAUACACUGAUAAACUGAUAGGUGUUCAGUAUUCUUCAAUACAUUACAUAGGUCACUAAACUACUAUGGCCUAUCUAAUUUUAUUACUCCGCUGUAAAAGUAUGAAUAUGUUAUAUAACUAAUUUAAACGUUGUAUAGCUAACUAUUUUGUUUUGUUAAAAAAUGUGCUAUAUCAAUUUAUACUAUCCCCGUUGAUAUAAUGCAUGCCAAUUUGAGCUAAAAUUUGUAUUAAAUUACAAAACGAUAUGAUAAUGAAACGAAUGUUAUAUUAGAUGUGCUAUUUAUAUAUUAUUAUGAAAUACUGAUAUUCUUACAUAUUCGAAAAUUAAUUUGCAUUUUAAGACAUGCAAAAGUAAUAGAGGUAUUCCAGAUUCGAUCCACCCUAGAAACAAAAAACACAUUUGUAUGGGAGAAGUCUGAGUUCGACUUUGGCCCAAGCAAUUCACAUGGUAUUCGAGAUUAGGCUAACUGGAUACUCCGGACAUUAGUCGGAAAGCAACUCAAACUCGGAAUUAGGUAGUGUGGUAGUCCAACACCUAGAUGUUGGCGACGAGUCCACAUGGUAGUAUUUCGGUGUGUUCUCCAGAAGCUGACCGGAUGAGCCGAUUGAGUAUAUAUAUAUAAAAAGAAAAUAAUAGAAAAAUUAAAACAAAAAAAAAAGUAAUAGACAAAGUCUUCGUUUUCUUGAACACGUAGCAUGUUUAUGAUGUCAUAGCAUGGACAAAACAUAGUAUCUUUUUUUGAGAGUGACAAAAGCAAAGCGUUUUACGUUGUUUCUGGUCCAGGAUAAUUUUAAUUUGAACAUGAACUCAAAUGCACCAAUAAUUAUUAGUUGCAUUUCUACCUUUUAAUUUUUAAUUGACACUAAAUGUGAUUCGCUGAAUUAAAUGAGGAAACGUAGCUCGAAAAGAGAAGAAGAAAUUAACAUUAUUGUUAAAAAGGUGGUUGGAUUUGACACCAAAACAGAAAGCUAAGAACAUUACAGAACAAAGUUAUUAUGCUUCAUUGCGACACAUUUAUUCUAGAGAUUCUAUUCAAAGAGCCUAACCAAUACAGCUGUAUAUAUCAUGUAUACACCACAAUUUUUUCCCGCCUAUAUAUUGAUAGAAAGUUAAAAUUUACCAAAUACCCCAAAAGCUUUUUUCUAAUUAAUAUGAUAACGCAUUAUUAAAAGGAAAAGAUACAUUCAUAUCAGACCUAUUCUGAUUCAUACAACUAUAUAUAAAAGUUGGCUAAUUACAUAUAUACACAAUCAUAAUUUAACUAAAACAUACAUUGAUCUACCGCCAUUAAUCGUCAAAUUAUGUUUGUUCAUGUAUGAAACUGGGCAAGUUUUAUAGUUGGUGCAUGCAUGCACACUGACUUUUUUUUUUUCAAUAGGCACCAAUAUGAAUGAUUGGUUCAUUCUGUUUAAUAAAUCAAACAUAUAAGGAUGAGAUGGAAAGUGACAUACAAAUUGAAGUUAAAGGAUUUGGAAGUAUAAGAAUUCAAAAUGAUGAUAACUCCUUGUUCUUCUCAAGAUUAUGAAGCAUGUAUAUGGGAUAGCUCUAAGAACUUUAGAAAAUUAAAGAUGUUGGUUAAAUCAAGAAACAAGAAAAGUAUUGUGGCCCUUUCCUAAUUAGUAAUUAGUAUUAGCUUUACGAAAUAUGUAAAAUUGUAUUAAAAUAUUUUUAAACAAUAACCUACUAGUAGGAAACCAAUAGAUUUGAUGGCUUCAAAAAUUUCACCAUUAUUAUAAAAGAAAACAAGUGGCCCUAAAAAUAGAAAUUGGCAUUAUCCUCAUUCUUGAUUUUAACCUUUUACAUUCUUAACAAUUUUUGUUAUGUAUAUUCGAUUUGAGUGUAAAAGAGAGAGUUUAAUAAACUUCAAACUUUCUUUGAAAUCGAUCUUCAGCUCAACCUAAGUUAAGAAAAUUGGCUAAAAUAAAACAAAUUUGCAAAAUAAACUAUAAUCAGACGAGAAUAUAUAUAUACCUACGGAAAUAUUAGGAAUAUUAUAUAUCAUGUGAAAAGGACUGGAUAAUGUCUGAUAAUGAUGGGAUGCAAAAGAUUAUUACGACACGAACACAUAAAUAAAAAGUUUUGAAAAUUUCAUUCAAGGAACAAGAUUCUUGAAUAUAAGUUAUUGACAAAUUUACAUUUCUAUGAGAAAUUUGUUUUUUUCUAGAAUUAAUAUUUUUGUUGCAGAUUAAUAGGGAGGAUAAUUUGAAUUUACAAAAAACAAUGAAAUCUUUUUACCAUAUAGGUUAACUUUAUCCUUAACCCCUAUGCUUUUCCUAAACAAGAUUGGUCUAAAUUAUUCUUUUAAUGAGAAAAAAGAAAAGAACAAGCAAGUCUUAUCCUUUUACCCUAUUCUUUUCACAAAAUGUAAAAAAUAUUUACCAAGUCCUUGCUUUUGAUGGAGGUAGUAACUUUGAAUCUGAUUCAGUGAAGUAUUUAUAUAUUUUCUGAGAAAAAAAAAAAAUCGUGCCUGCAUGAGGUAAUAUUAUUCAUCCAUAUUGGAAUGAAAAGAUCAUAUGAAAAACUACAUAUAAUAUAUAAACACCAUCGACUGUCACUAAUCAUAAUCAAAGUUCGUAUAGAUAAUGCAUGAUCUCUUGGAAAUAUUAAUGGCUCCACUGAGCUUAUAUGUUCAAUUAAAUACUGAUUUUCUUUCUUGAGGGAUUUUCAGAACAUUUUUAUACGUUUUCUGAUAUUUUUUUCUUUCGCUAUACGUUUUCUGAUAGAAAAAUAAAAAUACGAAUUUUAUUUGUGUUGUGGGUGAUUAUUAUAGGUGCUAUUUUGGACGUGGCACUUGCUAGUUCGAUGCUAACGAUUUUGGGUAAGAUUGUGUCUUCUCUUUCUUAAAGGAAAAGAUAGUCUUCGUUGAAUCAUAAUGUUCUCCAAACCUUUGAUUGUUGUCUUUUUCCCUAAAAAAUUCAUCUAAAAAGAAAUCUUAAAUCAGAAAGUCUAUUUGUUUAGGUGUCCGACGAAUAACAAUAAAACAUUGCAAAAGAAGAAGAGGCGAUUAAGAUAUUAAUCGAAUUGUCAUAUAAUAAUUUUUUUCCACAAAAAUUGUAGAUUUUAUAGCUUUAUGCCGAACCAAAUCUUAAACACUAAUCAUUUACUCAAGGGACUUUGUAAUUCUAAGUCAGCUUUAAUGAUGUACGUUUCAGUUGCUUUAAGUUUUUUUUUCUCUCUUUAUUAUUAUCAUAUUGAGGAAAAAUAAAGAUGAGUACAUGACUUCAAAGAUAUUAAUAAGCAAUAUAAUACUAUAUGACUAUGUUAAAAAACAAUGCUAAAUGUGAGUUGAUUGAUCUAUUAAGAUCAUCUCCAAAGGGGACCUUAUAUUUGAGGUUUGCCAAACCUUAAAUUUGAGGUUUAGAGUUGUGUCUCUUCAAACGAAAAUCUUAAAUUUAACUUCAAAAGAAUUUUUAUUUUGCAUAAUAGUCCUUACUAUUGAUUAUAAUUAAAAAAAAUCAUAAAACUUUUAUAAAUAACAAUAAAACAUACAUUAGAAAUUUACAAGCAGUAUUAACUAAUAAGAUGUUAUAUUAUAUUAUAAAAUUACAGAAAGUAAUAAUAAAAACACACAAACGAAAUCAUAAAUUAAAACUAAAUUUAAAUUCUGUGCCAUUUAUUAGAUCUCACUCCUCAUCAACCGUUGGAUUCAACUUCUAUCUAAACUAUAACUUAUCCUAGAUAUAGAUUAAAAAAAAAUGUGAAUUUCAUCAACGUCAUUCAUUAUAUCUCCACUCAUCACCAACCAUUGGAUUGAAAUCCUAUCCAAAAUUUUAGAUAAGAAAAUCUACGAAAUUGGUUUGUGGCCAUUCCUUUGAACUAGGGUUUUCCAUUCAUUGUGUAUAAAUAAUAGACUUCUAUGGAAUGAUAAUAUCACAAUUCGACUAACUCUUCUUGUGACUAAAAAAUAUGGAAAAAAAAUAGAGGCUCAUCAUUCAAUCAAAAUGAAGAUGAGUUGCUAUGUUGUGUGUAUCUAGAAAUAUCACAAGAUCUAAUUGGUAGUAAUAACCAAUCUGUGGGAAAAUUUUGGGAAAAAAUAAGUAAAAGCUACCACGAAAAGAAAACUGGAGGGCUGAGAAAUUAGAAACAUAAGAUCUUUACAGAAUAGGAUGAAUAACAUUACAUAUGCUAUUAGGAAUCUGAAGAACUGCAUCACCCAAGUGGAGAAUAUGCAUCCAAGUGGUGCGUCCGAAUUUGAUAUCGUAAGUACAUUUGUUUUCUACUUAAUUUAUAAAUAAUUUUUUAAUUAACAAAUUCUAUUUUUCAAUAUUCUGUAGAUGAAAAAGGCCAAAAAACUCUACAUACAAGAUCCAAAACAAAAGAAUGGUUUUAAAUUUGACCACGUUUGGAAUUUGAUGAAGGAUAUAUGAGUAUUAGUAUUGUUGUAGUAAUUUAAUUUGUGUAAUAUUUAUGUGUUCAUGUGAAAACUACACUAAAUAUAGUGUUAUUUCAAUACCAAAAUGGUGUUAUGGUUGGAGAUGCCCUAUAUAUUUCCGUAAUGGUCUCAUAUAUGUAAUCAAUGCGUUUCGAAGAGCUAUAUCAGAAAUUAAAAUCUAUAUUUAUAAGACAUAAAAGUUAAGGACUAAAAUGAUAAAAUAAUAAACUAGUAAAAUUAUUUAUAAGAUAUAAAUAAAUGUAAGGACCAAAAUGCAAAUAAAAAGAUGAAACUUCAAAUUUGAGGUUUUGAAUAGUGAAACCUCAAAUAUAAGGUUUCACUAUUCAAAACCUCAAAAUAUGAGGUUUUGAGGUUACUUUUGAAAAAUAAAAAACCUCAUACUUGAAGAUUUGAGGUUGCCUUUGGAGAUGCUCUAAAUGAACAAAAAAUUUAUAUAGUUGAUGCUUAUACGAUAUUUGGAAGAUAACCAGAGAAAAAAAAAAACUAAAGACAGUUUAAUAAUCUCUUAAAAAAUCAUCUUAUGAAAGUCUUAUGCAUCUUCAACAUGAGCCAGGUAAGCUUGUAGCUGUGCCUACGAGAAUCCAUUUCAAACUGAAAGCAGCUACUUGGCAAGAAGGUCUGGAUUAGUUGAUUCAGUAAAGAAUGUUCCUUAUUAUUUAUUAAACUGUUAUGGAGAGUAUUAUGUACUUUGGAAUUGGAACAAAGCUAGAUUUUCAUAUCUUGUUAGUCGACUUAGCAUUCAUGAGCAAACAUAUUUAGAAAACAUUGUCAAGCAGCCAAGUAGUCAAAUGAGUGUGUCAAAUAGAUCAAGGGGACUAUGAUGACAAAUAUGAAUUACAUAAAUUGGGGAAAUUUUUGAGAGUAAGAUCAAUCAAAUGUCUACCUUCCACUGUUAGUAAUAUAAUUAGUUGGAUGAGUUCAUAUGUAGUUGUGCUUAGCAAAAUGCAUGGGGUGAUUGGAUAGCUUUGUUAAAGGAAACAUGGGUAGUAAAGUUAUUACUCUCAAUUCAUACAUAUUUUUUCAAAUCAACGAAGUCUUUUUUUUAAAAUCUUUUUUCUCUUUCUCUUAAUUUUUAUCUUUUAUUAAAUAUCUUUUCAUUCAGAAAAGCUAGUGGAAAUUAUUUUCCACCUAGUUACUCAUAUCUCUUAUUUUAAUUAUUGUCAUUCCUACUCUUUUAGAAAUGAAUCACAUCUAUGAGAAAUGAAUCACACCUAUAAUUAGUAACGGAUCUAGAAAAUAUUUUUUUUGUUUAAAAUAAAAUAAUUUUACCCGGAUCAUAAUAUAUCAAAUAAUAAAAUAUUAUAUAAUUACUCGGGUAAAUAAGAUUUUAUUAUUUGAUAUAUUAUGUCCCGGGUAAAAUUAUAUUAUAUAUCUAACAUUUUACAUUAACUUUUUCUAUAUCUUAUACUAAUUUAAUUUAUUUAAAAAUAUUAUAUAAGAAUACUUUAUAUUCAAUGUAGUAACUUUGGAAAACUAAAUUUAGUUAGAGAAUAUAAAAUAAAUAUGUAUAUUUGUAUACUUUUAAAUAUAUAUAUAACUUGAAAGAUGGAGAGAAAACCCAAGAUUUGGAGAGUACAAGUAUGAAAUCACGAAAAAAAAACUAAGGAAAGAGGGGUAAUAGGUGAUUCGAUCUUCCCUAUUAUAAAACGUUUGAAGGUUUUUCUAUGAAAAUUUAGUGAAAUAUAAAGUAUUAUAAUAACGAUAAUUUAUUCAAUUAUAAUGAUAAACUUAUGCUUAUGUUUAUAAACUUAUCUUCAUGCCGAUUAUAAUCUAGUCAUAUAUAAGUAUUAUAAAAAUGAAAAUAAAAGUGUAUAAACAUUAAGAAAUAUUGCAAUAAUCAUUAUAAUUUGUUUUGGUAAUUUGAAACUUUAGUGCAAUAAUUUGUUUUACAAUUAAAUAUGAAUAAUCUUAACUAGUUUUGAAAGAAUGUAUAAUGGAAUAAAUAAUAUAAUGAAUUAGAAAAGGAUCUAAAUAGUUUAGAGAGUCUGCAUGUGUCAAACCAAACUAUAAUGAGAACAUCAUAACGACGAGCUUCUUGAUUGCGAAUAAAAGUUUACCACGAAUCAUUUUAUUAAUGGUGCUCACUAACAUCGGCGCCGGUGUUGGAGCUUCGUCAUGACGUUUUUGGUUUCGAUUUAGCCAAAGAUGAUAAAUCGAAUUUCGGAAGCAAAUCUAAUAAGAAGCAAACUAGUUUCAUCGUUUUGAACGGGAGCAAUCAUGUAAACACGGAUUCAAAGUGUUAUCAUAACCAAAGGUCGAUAGCUCAACUCGAAAGAAACUUUGGAAAUUUUCAAGAGGUCACAUGAUUAAGUGGCAGAUGACACGGAUAAAAAUAUUGAAGACUGGCCCGAGUUAGGAAGAUAUAUAGGCUUCGAUCCGAAACUUUUUAAUUAAAAAAAAAAGUGUUAUGCAACCGAAUUUUCCGAUUACUAAUAUAACCGAAGAACAAAGAAAAACAACACGUAUAUUUUACAGAAUUUAUAAUACUAAAAUCAUUAAGCAGUAAAAUAUUAAACAAAAGAAGCAUAGCUUCUAUUUUUUUUUUUUUUGAUAAACCCUAUCGGCUAUCCGGUCGGUCUCGGUAGGAACGCACCGUGGUGUUAUAUAGUGGAUUGGUCCACCGCGUUAACGGUUAGGCUUUUACGGACUACCACUCUGCCUAUCCCGAUUUUGGAAUGCAUUCCAACUAAUUAUGUUAUUCAAACUUUUUCUUUUCAAGUAAUUGAAAGAGGUGUGGUCGUCGAUUCGGAAAACUAUUCCCUCAACUUUAUUUUAAAAAGUAUAAUAAACUUGACACUCAGUUAACAUAUAUAAAUUUGACACAUGAUUUUCCUGUGGCCAAGUAUAUAUUUAGUUUUUAAUAAAAUUCCAAGAAUAUUUGAUCUUUGCGUGUCGGAUCUUUGACGUUUAUUAAAUUAGUUGUCAAAGAGCAUAAAAUGAAAAAUUCGCACUAAGACAAAUAUUCAUCACGAAGGACCUGUAAAUCAAGAUGCCAACCCUUCUGCUUAUUUUCUUAUAUAUCAAUAUCAAAGUCAUUAAAUAAUAUUAUUUUCUUUUCUAAAAUCUUAAUAUAUAUUAAUUAAGUGAUGAACUAUUGAAUUGUUUAUUAACAAAAAGAAACUAUAGAAUUUCUGAAUUUAUCAAUUCAAAAAACAUUUUAUUAGCAUAUUUCGCUUAUUAACAACAUGUAAUAAACGGAUUUACAUAUGGAUGGUUACAACGCCAACAAUUCACUACUAUAAAUUGUGGUCCAUUUAAUUGGUAUAUUAUUGUUGAAAGCUACUCUUAUGUGAAAUAAUAGUUACGGGGAAAAAGAAGAUAAAUGAUGCUGAUUUUUUUUUCAAAAAGUAAUUUAUUUAAUGUGCAUUUUUUUUUUAAUUACUAAUUUGUGAAGUUUCAAAUUUUUUUAUGAGCUUAUAUUUCAAUGGACCAAACAAAAUGAGCACAUAAAGUUGUAACUAAUAGACUAAUAGUGUUGUCAAAACAAUAUAUAUGUUAUUACCUUUUUGCAUGUUCUAUAAAGGGCCAUGCAUUAUUAAGGUUAAAACUUUUGCAUGUUCCUCAAAGGAAAGACUCCAAAAGCUCGAGAUAGUACUAGAUAUAUCUGCAAAGCUCUUCAUAUUUAUUCAUCAACAUUUAAAAAUAAACAGACCGUACCCUAUAUGAGAAAAAAAAUCAAAUUCAGUUUUUACUCAACUAAAGGAAAUAACACAUUCACGAAGUAAUAAUGGAGAACAAUAAUUUGUUUGAUAGUAAACAAGAUUCAAAAAGCUCGAGAGUCUAUAGUACAUAUAACAACAAAAGUAUCAAUUGAAUGCUCAUAAUCAUAUGCAAAUGUUUUAGUAAAGUGAAGCAUCCGCUUACAAUGCUAUGGCCAUCAAUGCUAUCAAAGGCAUAUUAUCUUUUAGAUCCGCUUCGAUUAGGUCUGGAAUUCUAGAUGUUUAUAAUGAUCCAAAUGAAGGAAACAAAAAAGUAUAGCAUCCAUUGAAAAAACAAAGUAAGAUCACAAAUAGUAAUUUUAGAAAUCUAGAUAUCCAUUCUGUAUAUAUAUAUAUAUAUAUUUUUUUUUCUUUUUUUUUCAAUAUAUAUAUAUAUAUAUAUAUAUAUAUAUAUAUAUAUACAUGUUUUACUCUAUCAUGAAUUUAUAGUUUUAUGUGUAUUUUGUGUACUUUAAAAUACAUAGCAAGAGUUUUAAACUAGUAACAAUAUGCAUUGUAAAAUUAUAUUUACAAACUUAAUUUACAUUACUAAGAAAAGUAUAAAUUUUAAUUUUAGAGUUUUAAAUGAAGUUUUUUUUUUUUUGGUAAGAAACACAGUUUUUUUGUUCACUUUUUUAAGUCUUUUUUUUUUUUUCAUUUUUCGUGAAAAUUAGGUAAUAUCAUAUCUUAUUCACUUGUUAGUUUACAAAAGGUAUGUAUAUUUUAAUUUUAAAAUUUCAAACUUUUAACUUAAUUUUUUUAGUAUAUCAGAUAUCUAGCGGUGUGUAUAUUCAAACAAAAUUAUGCGAUAUUUUUUUAAUGAAGCGGACUGGAAAAUUAAUUAGUUAUCUAGUAGUUUUUUUUUUCUUUUUGUUAACUACUUAUCUAGUAGUUUGGAACAAAAUAAUUACUGAUAUUAAGUUUUUCACUUUGUCUUCAGUUCUAAACUUCUAAUGCUACCACUAAAAUGCUUAUUUACCUAGACACUGUUAUUUUGUUAAUAAAACUCCGAAUGCUUUAUUUUCUGUCGACGAAUAUGUAUAUUUACACACACUGACACACACAUAACAUUAGCAUAUACAAGUGCAGAUUUAUUGUUGACAAAAGAAAGUGUAGAUAGAUUCUAGAGCAUCUUCGGUCGGUACGAAUGUCGUCCCACCAUAAGUUUGGUUCACUUCUCCAAUUUGCAAUUAUUUGUCCUUUUCUCAGUUUACACGUAAACAUACACAGAACGAAUAAUGAUUGUUUUCAUACUUUGUUCUUCACGAUAUCGUAGUAAUUAGGGUCCAAGAAAUGAUGACUACAUAUCAUUAUUAUAUAUCGUUACAUAUUUUGUAACCAAAAGAGGCGACGCAUAAGAAGAGUACCACUCACAGAUAUGAAAUAAUUUUGUGUAAAUAGCAUGAUUUUACUUUUCUUUAUUAUUAUGGUGAAAUAAGAUGCACGAGAAAAAUUAUAACCACACCAUGUCACCAUAAAAAGUGUACGUUGUUAUAGUAAAAACCCUUUUUUCUGUUAAAGAAUUAUAGUAAAAACGCCCAUCGUAUCUAUGUUGACAAACAUAUUUGUUAAAUUAAUAAGCAAGUACCUUCUAGUUCUUUUCUAACAUUUAAUAGCUUUUUUUUUCCUUUUUUUUUGUACAACAGAUUUAGUAGCUUUUCUAGUUUUACAAUUUAAUAACUUUAUUUGUGAAAUUAACUCGUUCCUUCACGAAUGAUAAUGCAUUUGACAACUUUUUGUUUCAGUUUCCACUAUCUAGGGUUAAUUUACUUUAUCCAUAUUCCGUACGAGAUGAGUAAGAAGAAGAUAUUAAGAGGAGGCAGUGCACGUCAUGCUUAUUUUUCAAACGCUGCUGACACAAAUACAUACUAAAGCUUAAUACUUUUUAUUUUUAUAACCAAACUAGCUCCUUGGUCGAAACUCAAUAUUGGUUAUAUAAUUUGACCAACUGAUCUUAGUGGCAUAUAUUUAAAAUUAACGUAGCGGAAAUUUUUAAAAGACAAAGUAGUGAUACAUUUGAAAAUAUAGGAUAACUAAGAUAGUCUUCUGAGAAAAAAAAAAAAAAAAUAGUCUUCUGAGAAAAAAAAAUAAAAAAAAUAGUCUUCUGAGAAUUUUUGAACAUACUUAACGUAGAAACCCUAAAAGUCUUCACUAAAAUAGGAUCAUAAAAUCUAGAUAAUAUGCAAAUAAUGAGGUUUCAAAAGAUAUAAAAAAUUUUAGUUACUUUUAAAAUGAGGUUUCAAAAGUCUAUCACCGAUGGUCUCAACUCAACACACAUGACCAUGGAUUUUCUGAUAUGUUUGAUGAUGAUACCACAAAUAAUGUGAUGCUAAAAUAAUUUUACUCUUUUUGAGUGUGUUGUCUCAUGUUGUAUUUUUUUUAAUAAAUUCAAAAGUUCAGGAAAUCCUAAAUAUCUGAUUCUUUUUAUCGGUCAAGAACAAAUAAAACCACUUAUUUACCUCCUUAUUUCUUUGUUCUCCAAAAUCUUCAACAUUUUGUGCCCAAAUAAAACGUUUUUAAAAAUAAUUUUUUAUUUGAAAAUAUCAUAUUUUAUUUUGAUCAUAUGAGUUAGGUAAGAACGCGUAGAUGCGGGAAAGUUUAUGAAGUCGAAUAAAAUCAAAUCCUCGUACAGUACUAAUAUUCCAUACAGAUUAGAGAAUUUAUCGACUUUUUAGGUAGGCUUCUGUGUUUUUACCGUCAACAGCUAGAACCUAUAUAUGAUUGUCAAUAUAAAUAAAAAUAUUAACAUCAAAGUUACCAAUAGACAUAAUUCAUGCAGCGACAUGCCACAAGAAGAAAUCCCACUCUCAUUUUAGCCUUUAUGUUAGUUACUUAGAUAAACAUAUUGACAUCAAAGUUAUAAUGCAUUUUAAUACUCUAGUUCUUGAUAACCUAACCUAAUGAAAGAAAAAAGCAAAAACAAAACAUGAACCAAUUAUUGUCGCAUACAAAUGCAACUUUAAAGACAUACUCAUAUGUUAUUCCAUUCGACAACACAACAAACAUGAACCAAUUAUUAUAGUUUAUAAGAUUUCUUUUUGUCGCGAGGCAACUACUCUACCUUAGCUAUUUUAAGUUUUUAACUGAAGAGUCGAAUUCUAAAUUUCUAAUUUGACGGAGGUAGAAAAUUUUGUUAACAGGGUCAAAAUAAAUUAUUUAUAUUAAAUAAUAUAUAUAAUUGUUUAUGAUUUGUUGAAGAUGACUCAAAAGAAUUGACCCUCCUAAUUAAGCACCAUGUACCUCCGCCCCUGGGAUACCACAUUGCUCUGAAUGUAAUACGCUAGGUUCAAAGAAAUAUGUUAAUUGUUAAUGUAUGUAUGAAAUCAGAAAAGUAAUGAAUGGGAUCUAAAUAAUAGACAUAUGUUAAUUGUUAAGUUUUUGCUUAUCUAACUGUGUAGAUCGAUUCUCUAGAUCAUUUUAGAUCUUUACUCUUCUUCAAGACUUUCCUAAUUCUUCUCCAAGGCUCUGGAUCCUUCUAAAACAUUCUGAAAUAGUACAAUCAAAGAAUGCUUAGAAAUGUCUAAGUGUUGGUAGGUAACCUCUCAGGCUCAGCCCAUACUCCCUUGUAUAUUAAUGGACGGAUUGGGCUGUUACAAGGUACUCUUUUAAGAAACCUUGAAUCUUCUUUUCUUUUUCUCCAAAUCAUCGGUAGGAAUUGAAAAAAACCCGGUCAUUUGAAAUUAUUAUGAUGCGUGACAUAGCUGAUGUCUAGUGAUUUUGGUUGUUUUAAAGCCUAUUUUCUCUUAGUUUUCAUUGCUUUGCAUUCAUAUUUUGGCAUAUAGUGUUGCAUUUGCAUUUGCAUUUGGUUUUCUUAGGUACAUGAAUGGAGCUUGGAGUUUUGGGAAUAAAUAGAGCAAAAAGGAAGCUAAAAGAAGGCAACUUGAGUAAUGAAGAUCAAAGAGGGAUCAAGAGGUGAAAGGAGAUGUCAAGAUGUGGUGAAAAAAGAUGAUUGAAGAAGAGAAGAGGAAGCAAUAUACCACCUGGUCGAUUCCCUGGUCGAUUGACAUGGAUCAGAGCUACGGACAAGACACCAAUCGAUCAAGCAAUCGACCGAUUGCCUCAGGACAAACCAAUCGACCACCUGGUCGAUUCCCUGGUCGAUUGACAUAGACCAGAGCUACGGACAACAUUUCAAUCGAUUACUUGAUCGAUCGAUUGCUCUACCCAAUAGACCAAGUGGUCGAUUGAGUGGUCGAUUGGGUGCCUAAACCGGGUCAAAACCCGGUUUGUUCCGGGUUGACCCGGUUCGUUUUUCCUUUUCUAUAUAUACUUUUAACCUAGUUUUAGAUUGUCUUAUGCUUUGUUUAGAGAUCAAAAACUUCUCUUAAGGUUUCUAUCUAAGUUUUUGUAUGAAUCUUUGGUUCUUAAGCUUAAAUAUCAAGUACUUCUUUUAAAUUCUCUUAUCUACCUUCUCUAAUUAUGAUUUCACAAAGAUCAAACUUAUUGCUUUGUGUAAUCAUGAUCAUGAGUGAGUAGUCAUUUAGAGUUCUUGGGUUAAGGUAGAUUAGGAUGGUUUAGUUGUUAGGUUAUGGAGUUUAGGGCUAGAUUACUUAAGAUCCUUACUUAUUGGUUGUUUAUAACGCUAGAUUAGCCUUGAUCAUGUUGAUUUAGACUUUAGGGAUUUCAUGCCCGGAAGGUGUUCGAUGAAAUUCCCGAACCAAAACCUUUAAGUGCUUUACAUUCCUUACCUUUGGAAAUUGUUGACUAGGGUGUUAAGUGGCUAGAUAGACUUGUUUAUAAUGCUUGUUAGUCAAUUGAUUGCCUUUGGAAGAAGUUGAUGAUUAAUUGAUUAGUAAAUGGACUAAUGUCAUGGAAAUGUGUUAGUGUUGCUUAGUGUUCUAUGGCCUAGGGAUCAUUGCUUAUUAGAAGUUGUUUGAAGCUCCAUAAUCCACUUCUUAAUCAUUCCUAAUCAAUUUCCUUUAACCCGAGAAUUCGCCUUUAGUUAUCGUUUAGUAACUCGUUAAUUUUCCGCUUUGUUUACUUUCGAAACUUGUUAGUCUUUUGCAUUUUGCUUUCAUUUGUUUUGUUUUGCAUUGUUUGAUUGUUAUUUACUUUGUUAGUCAUGUUUACAAAACCAAAUCAUUUUAUUAGCCUAGAUUAAGCUUUUGCGUGUAUUCCUAGUGAGUUGAUCAAUUGCAAAUUGUGGUUCGAUAUUUAAUUGAGUAAAAGUACUACAUCAAUAGCCCCUUUGUUUUUGUCUUUGUCUUUCUUGUAGUUGUCUUUAAGAUCCUUUGUGUACUAAUAUCUUGUAUUUUUGUUGGUUUUAUAGCUUCAUUUCUCUCAAUUUUCCAUUAUUUUGCAUUAAUGUUUAGGUCAUUAGAUGCAAAUUUGCAUUGCAUUUCUUAUUUUUAGGUUCUUGGAGUGGAGCAUAGAGUUUUGGAAGCAAAUGGAGCAAAGUGGAGCUAAAAGAAGUGAAGACUCGAAGAAUCAAGAAGAUCAUGAAAGCAAUCGACCAGUUGAUUUUCCGCUUUGUUUAAUAUUUGAAUCUUAGUAGUCUCUUACUUAUAUUUGAUUAAAAAAAAAAUAAUAAAUAAAAAAAAAAACCAAUAUCCUCCAUCUUAGAUUAAAUGAUAGCAUGUCUCUCCUUGUCUAUAGCGUAUUCAUCUUUACGAUCAUCUUAAAGAUGUUCCUUUUGACCUUAUUCAUCAACAAGGGCUUACUCAUAUUGCAGGUCUUAUAGAGGAACCAAAAGAAACUGAUGAUUGGAUAAUUACCUUACCAGCUCAUGUCAUGGUUAAAUUGGACUCCUCAAAGAAUCUUACCAUGUCCUUGAAAUUCUAAGAUCAAAUGGGUCUGUCUCUACAGUUAACGUUAAGUACCCUUGGGUUCCCCCGAUUUGUUCUUAUUGUAAUGAAGUCGGGCGUAUGGUGAAAAACUCUCUUGGCACCUCCUCCAGUCCCAAAAAACUCCAUCUGCAUUAACUGUGAAUUAUGUGGUUAUUUCAGAGGUUCUAAAGUUCUAAGGCAGGGAGACCCUUUGUCGCCAUAUCUGUUUGUUCUAUCUAUGGGAGGAUUCUCUCAGAUGUUAUCAAAAAGCUACAACAAUAAUCAGAUUGGUGCUCACCCUAACGCUUCUAAUCCGCAAGUCUCUCACUUGGCCUUCGCUGAUGACAUCAUGGUCUUCUUUGACGACAAGAAAAACUCUUUGUUGAAUAUUGCAGAGGUUCUUCAGGAAUUCUCCAUUGUUUCUGGUUUGUCUAUGAAUAAAAGCAAAACUGAUUUGUUCAUUGUGGAAUGAACCAAACUGAAACCUCUCAGAUCGCCUCUCUUGGUUUCAGAAUUGGUUCACUGCCCAUAAGAUAUCUUGGUCUUCCUUUAAUGCACAGGAAGCUACAGAUUGUGGACUACAGGCCAUUGCUUGAGAAGAUAACAAGUCGUUUCACCUCUUGAUCCUCUCGUGCUCUGUCCUAUGUUGGAAGGAAGCAGUUGAUAUCCUCCGUCAUCUACGGGACUAUUAAUUUCUCGCUCUCUGCUUUCAUUAUCCCUAAAGGUUGCAUUAAAAAGAUCGAAAGUUUGUGUUCUAAUUUUCUUUGGAGUGGUGAUGUGAACAAGAAGGAUUGGUUGCGUAAUAACAAGAUAAAGGAUGGAAUUUUCUGGUGCGUUGAUGUUUAAAACCAGACCUCUUGGACUUGGAAAUCAAUUCGAACAUGCGGCCUAUUGCUAUUAAUUUCCUUAGAUGCAUUAUGGGAAAUGGUAAUCAGCUCAGUUUUUGGUAUGAUUGGUGGACUCCCUUAGGUCCUUUGAUUGAUUUUCUAGGCCCCUCUGGCCCAGCUCAGACUGGAAUUCCUCUUCUUGGAAAAGUUGCUCAUGCUUCCUCUCCCACAUGAUGGGUUCUCAGGCCCGCAAGAUCAAGUCAAGCUGAAACUCUCCACAUCCAUCUCACCACGGUACAACCUCCCUCUCUAUGCUCUGAUCAGGAUUCAUUUUUGUUGUUGAUUGGUUCGGAUGAGCUAGAAAGCUUCUCUACUAGGAAAACAUGGGAGGUUCUAAGGCAAAGAUCAGAGCCUCUUCGUUGGACUGAUCAAGUUUGGUUUAAAGGUGCCAUUCCGAGACAUGCAUUUAUGAUGUGGUUAAUGCAUCUAGACAGACUUCCAACUCGUUGUAGACUAACAAGUUGGGGGUUGCAAAUCGAUAUGAGCUGCUCCCUUUGUGGUUUAUUACCGGAGAUGAGAGAUCACAUCUCUCUUCAUUGCGAAGUUAGCGAGAGUAUUUGGUUAGAGGUUAAUAGACGUCUCGGUUAUAACCCGUUCAUAUUUCACACGUGGGACGCGUUUUCAGCUUGGUUGGAUGCGAAGGACAACAUUUCUCCUCGAUGCCUCUGUAGACUGGUUGCUCAAGCUACUCUUUAUGCAACUAAACAAUAGAUACCACAACAACAUUUCUACCGACGCUCAUAUCUUGCUCAAGCGAAUCGAUCGUCAAAUUAGAGAUGCAGUUCUGGCGAAGAAGAAGCGUAAACAUUUCAAAGACUUUAUGCAACUUUGGCUAAAGUGACUAGAGUUCUCUACUCAUAUUUCCUGUUAGUUCCUUCCUUGUUUUUCCUCUUUUUUUUGGCAAGGAAUGAUCUUCUGUGUUAAGCUUUUGUAACUUCUACAAACCUUCAUUUUAUAUGAAAUUCACAUAUUUAUCAAAAAAAAAAAAAAAAAAAACCCCACAACACCCAUCUUCUUAUCAGUCAAAAAGUCAUGCUACAAAGUGAGUAAAAAUAUCCUUCUGAUGCUUCUGUUUCCACUACUACUCCUCCAACUUCCUCGUCUCAUUCAUACCAGGCUGCUUCUACACAUGUAAUCACCUCUAUUUUUUGUGAAACUCCAGCUUUGACUUCCAAGACAAAUUGAAAAAAAUAUUGAGUUAGGUCCUGAUUCUCGACAGACUCUGCAUGUUUGGUUGUCUUGCCUAUUACAUGUAUCACCCCUGAACCGUCCUAGGACUAAGGACCAACCGAAAGCGUUAUGUUUGACCCCAUAACUGACUCGACCGAGUAACCAAAACACAUCUAGUACCAAGGUCAGUCCAUCCGCGGGUAUCGUUCCUCACGAACAACACGGCCUAAAGCUUUUCCACCCGUACAAUGUCCCCAAGUUUUGCUAGUCCAAACAAGACUAAUAUCAAACAUAAGACAAGGCUUUAUAUAGGAGUUGAGAAACCACGUACAUACCACAAAAAAUUGAAAAUCUGGUCAUCGUGGAAGAGAUCCAAACAUGAACCGAAGAAUUUUUGUAGGAAGAUCAACAAAUCUUCUCGAUUCAACAGAGUUGUUAACUAGAACAAGCAUCAAUGAAGAAUCUGAAUCCAUUGAAACAAACGCAUCAACGAAAUUGCAAACAUCGGUGGGUUAACCAAAAAACGAUUGAAUCGACGGAAUAAUCGAUCAAUCAAAGAACAAAUCUGAUUUUAAUCAGUGAAAAAAAAACGGAAAUGUGGCAAAAUCGAACUCAAAUCUUCGAAAUUGUUUGUUUGACGUCGUAAUCUUCGAACGGAAACUGUCACAUUAAAUGGAAUCAAGAUUUGUAAUGUGUUUUUGCGUCCAUGUCAACAUGUGAAAGGGUUUUUGGAGAUGAUCACUAUUUAACAAUUUUAAAGAAGGUUUGGAUCCUCAUAGAUGAUUCAAAUUUCAAACCCAAUCAAAACAAAAACAAAAUGGUUUAAGAUAAAUCUUUUCUCACGUGUCACGUCUUUUUGCUUAGUACAAAUUUCUUAAAAACACACUUGAUUAAACAUCAAAAAUGACAAAAACUAACGCAACAAUACAAAACCUAACAUAAUGAAAACAUAAAGCGACCAAACAAAAUUCAAACUAAAACUAAACUCGAACUCAAAAAGGGUACAUAAACCCAAAUGUUUGAAUCGAAACUGGGCUUAACAAUCAAUGGCUUGGGCCAACACAGAAAAAAAAAUCAGGUGUACUACUGCUUUCUCUCAUGUGAACCAUGUGAAAGUUCCUCAUAAGAUAAGGAAUGUGCAGAUCUGGCAAUGAGGUACUAGUUAGGUAAGAAUUUUCAUGCAUUUGGUGUCUAUAUUAAAGUAAUUGGCGUUUACAAUGUAUGACAUUUUCUAAAAGAAUUUUAAUUCUAAUCAAAUUUUUCAGUUUAGAAUUGAUAAAUUGUUAGUUACUAAUAUCAUGGAAAGGUUAGCACUCGAUACACAUGUUCAUAUUACUUUUUAAGAUUUAUGUUUCUUAUAUAGGUUACGAGGAAAUAGUUUAAAAUAUAUCAAUCGUAGCAAAAUUGUUAUUAUCAUCAAAUGAUUGGGUGUAUUCCAGUUUUUCAUGAUAGUGUCUUUAACUUUUCAUAUUAUUACAAUUUUUCUUUCGUAACGAAUUCAAUUUACAUUUUAAUAAUACUUUUUAUUUGUGAAAGAUAGUUACCAAUUUCGUUUGAAGUGUUUUUAAGUUUGAACACAAACAAUUGAAAAAAAACACACACACGUUUGGACUUUUAAUGGCUCAUUUGUGCAUUUUACUUUAGGUUUCCUAUUUAUUCACAAAGUAUACGAUUUAACUUCUUUUUUUUUUUUUGGCACAAACAUUUGUUUUUUCUGUCAUGCACAAAACACAUCGCAUUCCACGUUGCCACAGAUUUGUUGACUACGUUUUUUCUUUUUGCCAAUGAACAACAUUCGAUGUUAUCGUUAAGCCUAACCGUUAGUCUGUUAUACCCAAAUCUAACGAACGUGUAAGGAUCUCCAAUCAUGUUUUCUUAUAUUAAAAUUUUUCAUUUUCUAGUUUUGUAUGUUUACUACUUGGUUGCUAGAGAACGGGAUAAUAGGUAACAUCACUUUGGUUAUCAUAAAAGUCGUCGUAUUUGGUUAGUUUUGUUUGCACUAGUUCAACAGUUAGUUGAUUUAUGAUGUUUGGUCGGUCCCAGUUUCAAGAAUUAGCUGUAACAAGAAAAAAUUAUUAAACAAAAUUAAAGGUAAGAAAAGGCAUUAUUUAUGUAAUUUUUUCCGUGUCAUUUAUAAUAUACCCAAAAAAAUAAUGCUGUGGAGUUAUGGACGGCAGAGCGAGCCGACCAACUAUUGCACUCAUCAACAGUGUACCAAACCCUUACUAAAUUAUAGAAACAAAUAAAAUUAUGCUUUUAGUGGAAGAUCAACCAUAUGAUCUAGAAAACAGAUUUAGAAUUUGAUCUAUGCUCUAUAUAAUUAUUAUGCUGAUAUUUGUUUUAAUAGUUAUUCCAAAAAACAUAUUGUAAUGUAAUGUAUGAAGAGGAUUACUUACAAAAGACAACUUUUUUCAUUUGCUUAAAAAGGAUAUAUGCUUCUAAUUUAAUCUAUUGUUUAACAGUUUAAAUAGAAUUAGAAUCCUAAUUUUCAAAAUUGUUUUCAUUAUAUAUUAAUAAAUAACUCUUGUGCGGCAAAAUUUAAAUCACAGGUCAUUUUGUAUUUACAUUAUUUCUAAUAAAAUAGUUUAAUAAGAGUGAAAAUUAAGAACAAUAUUUUAUACAUUUUCCUGAAAUAUUCAAUAAAAUGUAAAUAAGUCAAAAUAUUAACUUUUAUUUUUUAGUGAUAAAACCUUUUGCUCUUAAUGAAACACAAUGAAUGAAAAUAGUAUAAAAAUAUAAAACCAAUAGUUCAUUACAAUAUCCAUAAAUCAUAACCAAGUCUGGGAAAAUCAAUGUGACUACUUGAAGUUUUGUUCCCAUAGAGUGUAACGUAUAUUACUGUAAAAAAAAAAAAAAAAAACUGUAACGUAUAUUUCAAUAUGGGUUAUAAUAUUUGUUUCCCACAUAAAUUGAAUUUUCCUACCAAAGUCGUAGAGCGCAAUUUAUAUAUAAAAUCCUUUAUUCAUAAUUUCAUAGGCUGGCGCGCAUGCUUCUCUUAGUUAAGUCAUAAGUAACACCAACAAGAAAAAUGGUACACCAAAUUCCAUCAUAUUAUUCUCACAAAGUCAAGGUUUUAGACAUUAAAUUUUUAAUUUUUAUAUCAAUAUGAUGGAAAGAAAAAAGCAUGCUUGUUGGUGUAGUGUAGGUGUGUGGAAAAAACAACACAUAUAGACAAUGUUUGAUUGGUUCGAUGUUGGCCGUAGUAUGUCCCAUCUUUUUUUCUCUUAAGAUGUGACAAUGGUGUGUUUAAUGUAAAUUUUCUUAAUUGCAUCGCUGGUUUUAAUUUUAAUUUUGAAAAGAAACACGAAUAUUUGGUGAUCAAUAUUAACCUAUACAGUAGAACUAUAGAAGUAAGACGUCUAACCACUUAAAGUAAUUAAAUCACAACUCCAAUAAUUCGUAUGGAUUUUGAAUUCUCCACAUCCAAAAUAAUGAAUUUAAAAUCAGAUACAGUAUAUCAUUCAUUAUAAAACUUUGUCAUACAUAAAUGACAUGUUUUUUAGUUUCUAUUCUAACUUUGUCAUACAUAAAUGACAUGUUUUUUAGUUUCUAUUCUUGGAGGACCUCAAAUAUACUAUAACAAGAAAAAAUGCGUUUAAAUUAACGUACAAGAAACAUUGCGUUUAUGGUACACGAUUUUAUAACAAAUUAAUAUAUGUUCGAAUGAAAAAGAGUAGACUAAAUUGUCAACUCUGUAGUCCCCACUACAAAUGAGACAUUGAUUGAGAUCCAUCGCCACCUUCUUGUCUCCUUAAAAUCUAUAUGUAAACAGUAUUAACUAUUUACUUGAUGUAAUGUAGAUUCUUUUAUAGCGAGAACUCUCCUAUUUCUGUUUGAUUUUGGGAGUGUUUGGUAUUGUAGUCCUAGAGCAUUAUUAUUCAAGGGCUUUUAAUAGUACUUUUUAAAAAUAUUUAAAUAAUAUAUUUUUUUUCACCUCUUAACAUUUUUUUUGUUCCACCUCUUAACAUUUUUUUUUGUUCCUAAACUAAGAAACACUUUUUAGUUUAAAGGCACAUUUGAAAAUAAAUAUAAUCAAUUAAAUACUAACAUAAUCUUAAGAUUUUUUUAAGAAUCUAUCGUUAAGGCUGCUUUUAGACCAUCUUUAUUGAGAGAUGCUUAACUUGGUUCUUAGCUAAAAAGAGAUUAAAAUUAAAUAUGUAAUUGAUGAUUUUGCUAAGGAAUGACUCUUAGCUAAGAACCAAAAAUUGGGCUAAGAACCAAAAUUAAGCACCUCCCAAUAAUAUUGCUCUUAUACUCUUAUAUAAUUAAUUAUUGCAGUGUUACUUGAUAUAAGUCUUGUUUGGAUUUAGUUUAGGCAAAAUAAAUUAAACAACGACUUAUUAGGAUUUCUAGGUUUGGUUUUAGUCACAAAAUAAUUAUCAGAAAUACUAUGAGUGGACAAAAGACAAAUACUCGUUAUUUUAGUGAUAAUUGAUAUUUGACAUGCUUUGUACGAAUAAUAAAAAUUAUGUUAUAAAAUUUUAUGUAUAUGUUAUAAACCCUACUUGGUUUGUUAUAUACAAGUGCUCGUAAUUUUAUGUAUUUGCUAAAAAAUUGUUUACUUGCAAAUUACCUUCCCCUUUGCCCCAUCAUAUUACUGAUCUUGUUGUAACAAUUCUUGUAGUGGAUCACUAUUUUUGUUGCUGUUACUGUUUGAAACUUUAGGGUGCAAUCGAUUGGUGAACAUCUAUCUAUAGAGUGCUUGAGAGGAGGAAUGAGAGUGAAAAAAGGUGAUAAAUAGAGUAAAACUAAUAAGUUCUUUGUAGUACUAGUACACUAGUACUUGUAUAUAGAGUUUUUUUUUUUUUUUUUCAUCCGAAAUUAAUUAAAACUCAAAAGAGCCACUCAUGAAGAAUGUUAUUUACAUAAGUGAUAUGAAGCGGUUCUGUACGAACUUUUCGUGCUAGAUUAUCCGCCUUAACAAAUUUCCUAAUACUUGUAUAUUGAGUCGAUAAUAAAUUUCCGUAGUAGUUGUAUAUUGAGUUGAUAAUAAAUUUCCUAUUUUUCUCCCCUUUCAUGCUUUUUUUUUUUACUGAAUUUUUUUAUCCACCAUUUAUUUUUACUCCAACCGACACAACUAAUCAGAUACUUCUAAUUUUUAACUAAGAAUAAAUGAAACUAUAUAUAUAUAUACAUACACACAUGUAGGUGUGUGUAUAAAAGACAAAAUGUAAAUGUUGAUUUGGUGUAUGAUAUGUCUUAUUCAUAAGUCUCAAUGAAGACAGUCCUUAAUCUACGGUUAGGUGGUGGCUGCUCACCUUCCUCUAUUCCUUUUAUUUUUCUAUCUUCUUUCACAUCCAUCUUUCUCUUUAAUUAAGACUAUCUCACACAUCUGUUUUUUUUUUUCUUAAAAGAAAUAUAUACUUUGAUCGACAGACCAAUAGUUCUAACUCUAGUUUAUGAUAAUCUAAAAAAAUUACUAGUCCAAGAAGACCAGGCCAAUUAUCUUUAGUUUGGUUACUAUCUAAUUGGAUGAUUCAUAAACUAGUGACGCGCCAUAUCCUUACAUUUCUUUAGAAUGUUAAUUUAUACAUAACAUUAAAUAAUGAAUAUUAAUUUCACAUACUAUCGUUUUCGUAUUAAGUGUUUAACAUAAUCAUAAUUGAAUUUAGUGGAGAUACUAAAACUAAGACCAAAAACACAGUAGAAAGAACAGAGGCAAAUAAAAUCAUACAAAAGGUCAACUAUAAAAAAAAAUUAAGAAAUGUAAUAUAAACUAAUUUAGUUAAUUUAUUAAAUAAGGGCUCAUACGAGAAAUAAAUUAUUUCAAAACAAUAAUCUUACGUGAUAUCAGUAAACAAAAAGUUUUUAAAUAAAUUGUAGAGAGGACAGGGAGGUAAAUAAAUAAAGGUCAAAUAUAAUUUCAAAAAAAAAGAAUUAAAGUUGUCAAAAUUGUAAUUUAAAAUUAAAUUAGGUAAAUAAAAUCAGUCCCCACAAACACAUAAAAAAACUCCAUUAAAGACCAAUAUAAGAGAGAGUACAUGAGAGUCCAAACUUCAUUCAAUUCAAGUCUCAGUUCCAAGAAUAAAAACAAAGAUUUUGUAUAUUCAUUUAAAGAGAUGAAGUCAAUCUUAGCCAACACUUCUCUCGAUUCUUCAUUCUCUCUCUCAAAACGUUACUUCAAUUGGAAGAAGAAGAAAGUUCAAGAAGACGACGACGAGGAAGAGGAAGAAGAAGAAGACGAUUACAACAAAAACGAAGAGAAAAUCUUGACCCGUUUCAAUUUCUCCUCUGACCCGACCCGACCGGAUCAAUUCAAUACUCAACACAUAAUGAAGAAAAAAAAGAAAAAGACUAUCGAAAAGAUCCGUUACGCUCUCGGGUUCUCUAACUCGGGUCUGGGUUUCCGGGUCGUGGGUACUUUAUUCGGUAACCGUCGUGGACACGUGUACUUUGCCGUUCAAGAUGACCCGACCCGUUUACCCGCGGUGUUGAUCCAGUUACCAACUCCAACGAGCGUUCUCGUCCGUGAGAUGGCUUCGGGGCUAGUGAGAAUCGCGCUCGAAACGGCGGCGUAUAAGACGGAUUCGAAGAAGAAGCUUUUAGAAGAGUCCACGUGGAGAACGUAUUGUAACGGUAAAAAAUGUGGUUACGCGGCGAGGAAAGAGUGUGGAGAAGCGGAGUGGAAGGUGUUGAAGGCGGUUGGGCCCAUAACAAUGGGUGCUGGAGUUUUACCGGCGGCGACGACGGUGGAUGAAGAAGGGAAUGGAGCGGUUGGGUCCGAAAAAGGUGAGCUCAUGUAUAUGAGAGCCCGGUUCGAGCGGGUUAUCGGGUCGAGAGAUUCGGAGGCGUUUUAUAUGAUGAAUCCUGAUGUGUCAAGUGGUGGACCUGAGCUUAGUGUGUAUUUUCUAAGGGUUUAAGUGGAAAAUGAUAAGAUUAGUAUAUGAUUAAGAAGGUAUUAUUUGACCAUUUUAAGAAUGUGUUUUGAUUUUGGGAUUUUGUCUAAAUGAUGUUCAACGUGUAAUAUUGGAAUUAUCUUAAUGAUGUUCCAAAAGAUUAGUGAUCAAAAAGUGAAUGCUUUAUUUAGAAGCAAUGUAUUAUGAUGAAUCCAUAUUUCUUUAACUUUAUCUUUGUGAUAAUAUUGGAAUUAUUAUCUUAAUGCAAUUAUGCAAAUGUGGUUUACUUUUUAACUGUUACUCUUCUUUGAGUUAGCAUUUUAGAGGAUGGCGGAACUCUAUUGAAUUCUCAUGCAUAAUGAUAAAAUCGUUAAAUAAAUUUUAUGAAAUUAGAAUAGCCAACAGGCGAAAGUGUUAGUAUAUGCUUAAACUCAUUGAUUGGAAAAAAAAAAUGUAAUAGGAUCGGCGUUUGGUAUAACUUAAUUAACGAAAAUGUAUAGAAGCUCGAACUUUCAUUAAUGACUCCCACAAACGAAGUUUAGAGACCUCAUCUAUGUCAGCAUGCAACACCAAACUUACUCUCGAGUCGAGAGUCUCCACCAUCAAGCCCCGUGUAAAUAACAGUACAAGACACUAUGAUACUAGUCGUAGUAAACAACCUAAAAAAAAAGUUUCUUGCUUAUUUGGAUUCACCCCUAAAACCUUAUUUAAAAGAAAAACUCACCCCGAAGGAUCAACAAUCGAACUUGUACCAAUGAUUGUUGAUUUUUUUUGUCCCAGAUGCAAUCUCCUUGUUUGCAAUCUCGGCAGAGUAACUCCCAUGGAUCACAUUCCUGAUCUUGUCAAUACCAAAUUCCCCACGGAUGGUUGCAUACUCGCAGUCUGAUGGUCUUGUGGGUCCAAUCAUCUCUCUCACUGUCUCCACAACAUUCUCCCCCUCCCAUAUCAUUGCAACAACAGGCCCGGACGACACAAUGUAAUCAACCAGACGCCCGAAUACGUGCUCGCCAGACAGCUCCUCGUAGUGCUUCAACACUCAUCAUCUUCAUGCCUGUACAUCCCCACUCAGUUGACUCAAUCAAAUCACUCAAGCAAGUUUGGAAUCAAUUAUACCCUUCAAAGUGAAACGCUUCUCUUCAAACCUUCUGAUAAUUUCAGGCAUCUGAAACAUAUAUGUAAUCUUUGUCAAGCAAAGCAAAGAACAACGCAAAAUAACCGAAACACAUGAGGACCAAUGGGAAACGUACUAGUCGCCUCUGGACACCGUCGGGUUUGAUCAUGACGAAAGUUUUCUCCAUUUUGGAUGCUUUCCUUCUUCUUCUUUUUUUCCGGCAUUUUCUUUGAUUAGGAGGAGGCGGCCAAUUGUUGGUCUUUCUGAUUUUUUAUAUCUCCUCCUCUCUCUCGUCUUGUCUCACCUUGGCAAGAAGCACGUUCACCCUCCCGCUUAAUACGACUUGUAAAUAUAGAUUCACUAAGAAGAGAGAUCAAAAACUUACUUAGACGACCAAAUUAACUACUUAGAUUUAUUUUAUUUAAGUGAAAAUUAACAACGAAAUUAAAGAGACCAAAAGUCAAUAUCACACUUGAGAAAACGGAAACAAAUCAUUCACCAAAUCAUAUAUGGAAAAGGAAAAAGAAAAACGAAACGAAACACAAAGCCAGGUUUUUUUUUAAAAAACUAGGGUUUUGGAUCUUCUGUUUUUGAAUCAGCCCCAAAAGUCCAAGCGUUCUCCUUGCGAAUCGCUUCUUCUUCUUCAGGUGUGAAAUCAUUCUCAAUGUUAAAGAUUGUUGAAUGAAAUAUAGAAGAGUCGAUGAAUGUGUUCCCUUUAUUUAUAGAACCCAAAGAGUCGGUCGAUUGUAUUUUCCUUUUCGCAAUUAGAAUUGGGUUUCCUAUUUUCACAAGGAAAUAAGGAAAAUAAACGCAAAUCCUAAUUUAACAAGGGUUUAAUGAAAGAUAUAUUUCUAGAAACUUUUUUAGCAAUUGGUAAAAAACAAUACUCCUGUUUUUUAUUUAUUUUUGAAUGAAUGUAAAAUUUAUUCAACCAAAAAAACGUUUUUACAAUGAAUGCAAUCUUUAAUCGAAAGUUAUUUUGAAAGGAAUUAAAAGGAAUAAUAGAAUGUUAGUCUCUGGACUCAAACCUGUUUGUUUCUUAUUUAAGCAGAGAAAAAAGUGUUUUAUAAACGUGGAAAUUUUGUAUUUUCGAUGCAAAUUAUUUAAAGUAUUUUUUUUUCUAUAGAGACAAUCUAACAAGUUUAUUGUAUAAAAUUCUAUCAAAUCUUCCAGUGUUGCUGCUCUCUAACAAAGCGCUCUGCACAAGUUCCUGCAACAUCCUCACACAUUCUUUAAUUCAAUUCACAAAUUCUAUUUUUUUAAGAAAAGAAUGAUGACAAAACUUAGAGAAGAAAUCUAUUUUUUGCCUAGACUUCACGGUGAGAUAGAAACUUUCCCAGGCUAUAUAGCUUGGUUAUUCUCCACUCCAUCAAAAUUGUUUUAAUUUUUUUAUUUGUGUCAAUGGUUGUAUUUGGAACUUUUUUGUACUUUGUAAACUUCUGAUGAUAUAAUAGAUUUGAUUUGCCAAAAAAAAAAAACUUUCCAAGGAUGUGAAUGGUUACUCUCAUAUCUUCAACCUCUCAGAAAAAUACAAAACAGUACUUCAAAUUCAUUCUCAAGAGACUAUGAGAUGACUUUUUUUUUUUUUUUUUUCCUGAAUACUAGGAGGUUCUGAGGCAAAAUCCAUAAUCUCUCUAAACCCGAAACCACAAUAGAUGACUUAUUAUGUCCAAGACAAAUUAGUCUCCGUGUUUGCUUGUCCUUUAUGCAUACUUCGUUAGCAUCAAACUAAUCCUUUACUCCUCGAAUACAAUGGGAUUUUACACCUGGCGAAUCUUUAACUCUACCUCCUCUUAUUACCCUAACAUAGCAUGAGGCAAACAAACAAAGAUCAGCCCCACAAACAAGUGUACUUCGCCGUACAAGAUGACCUGACCCGUUUAUCCGCGGUGUUGAUCCAGUUACCAACUCCAACGAGCGUGUCGGUGAGAUGGCUUCGGGGCUAGUGAGAAUCGCGCUCGAAAUGGCGGCAUUUAAGACGGAUUCGAAGAAGAAGCGUCCACGUGGAGAACGUAUUGUAACGGUAAAAAAUGUGGUUAUGCGGCGAGGAAAGAGUGUCGAGAAGCGGAGUGGAAGGUGUUGAAGGCGGUUGGGCCCAUAAGAAUGGGUGUUGGAGGUUUACCGGUGGCAACGACGGUGGAUGAAGAAGGGAAUGGAGCGGUUGGGUCCGGAAAAGGUGAGCUCAUGUAUAUGAGAGCCCGGUUCGAGCGGGUUAUCGGGUCGAGAGACUUGGAGGCGUUUUAUAUCAUGAAUCCUGAUGUGUCAAGUGGUGGACCUAAGCAUAGUGUGUAUUUUCUAAGGGUUUAAGGGGACAAAAAAUUAAGAUUAGUAGUAAUAUGAUUAAGAAGGUAAUAUUUGAUCGUUUUAAAAAUGUGUUUCGAUUUUGGCCUUUUGUUUAAAUGAUGUUCAACGUGUAAUAUUGGAAUUAUCUUUAACGAUGUUCCAAAAGAUUAGUGAUCAAAAAGUGAAAUUGUUAUCUAGAAGCAAUGUAUUAUAUGAUGAAUCCUUUUUUUGUUGAUGUCUUGAAGCUGUGAUGUUUGCUUUGUUUCAUUGACGAAUAGAGGCGGCGGUUUGGUCUAGGUGGCUUCGUUAUCAUGUGGGAGAUGUUCAUGUAGCUUGCGAUAGGGAUGGUGGCUGGAGGCCGCUUUUCUGGCUGCCUGUAGAUGCUCCUGUGCCGCCAGGUGUGUGACUAAGUCUACUACAACCAUCCUGUUUUUGUGUUAGUCUUCAGAGAAGAUGUAGACGCCCUAUCUUGAGGUUUGAGGAUGGGUCUAAUAAGGUUGGGAUUGCUCGUGACAACAACGAUGAGGAUUCAAGUUUUUUGGAGCUGAAGAAAUCACCGAGCUUUGCGGUUUGGAAUCGGUGUUUUUUACUGGGACUCUACUCGUUGGGUUUUCGCUUGUGCUUCCUUGUUGUUUUUGUUGUGUUGUGUUGUAGUUUUGUUUUUUUCUUUAGCUUUCGGUCUUUUCUGGCUAUUUGUAUAUUUAUGUAAUUUUUGUCAAAAACUUGCGAAAAUGGUAUAAAUACGUAAUAUUGAUACCAAAAAAAUACUUAAAAUGUGUUUUUUUUCCGUCAUACAUAACAUGUGUUACUAAUACUAUUUUUAGUAGAAAAUAAAAUGUAAAAAGUAUAUUAGUUUUAUUGUUUUAAAAAUAUUAUAUGCCCCAGUAUUAAUGUUUGAACUUUGAAGGGUUUUGUAGCCGAUUUGAACCCUACGACCGGUAUAAACGUCGAUGAUGACCCGACGGCUGGGUAUAAAGCCGAUAAACUUUUUCAGACUUAUUUGCUAUAUUUAAGUUGAAUGACCUGUGUUACUAUUGGGAGAACCGGAGAUCGACCGAGAUCGACGGUUGAGAUGAUCGCCCAAGAUUAUGGAAAUCAUGAAGGAUCUAGAAGUUAUCUUAUCUUAAGUUUAGGAAGUUUAACAUUAUCUCUAAAUAUAUUAUUUACAAUUUAUAUUUAUCUUAGAUUAGGAAAUCUCAUCUCUAUAUAAGAGAAUGUAUUUUGUACAAUAAUUCUCAUGAGAGUCUAUUAUAAUUCUUUCUAAACACUUUUGUGUUCUUUACUCUCAUCAAUUUAUCCUAAUAGUAUGCACUGAAGUGUAAACAAGUUUAUUUUUUUCUUGAAUAUAAUUUAACAUUAAAUUCAAAAAAAUAAAUACAACUUUAAGAAUCUUUCUAAAUACAAUUUCAUAAUUGUCAAAAAAAAUCAAAGCAAAUUCUAAGAGAUUGAAAGUAAACCAAAAGAUAAAAUUCAGUUAGUGUUUGAGAUUAUUCACCACAGAAUUAUGCCUCACGGAAGGUCCCGAAGGUGGUACAAGUACUCUUUUUGAAAAUAAAUGGAACACACGACCUUUGAAUCUAAAACCCCCAAUGAUCUCUUCUUGUCUUGAUCUUGUUUGAACUAGUGUCGUUUCAGAAAGCUUAAUCGGUCCGAUCAUCCUUGCCGUGGCGUUGUAUGAACCAAAAACCAAGAGGAAAACAAUAUAAAGAGUCAUAAACAUGGUUUUAUGAGAAAGAUUCAUAUAAUGUUCGGAGAAAGAAGAAGAAUAAGGAGGAGACAUUAAUUUAGCUACUAGCUAGGGUUUUUAUAAAUUUUGGAUUUUAAGAAGGCGGUUUAAGUUUUGAGAUGUAUAUAUAUGCGUAUAUAUAAACCUAUAUAUAUAUAUAUAUUUAUGUGCAUGAUUUAUGUAUCAUGUAUGAAAGUAUGCACAUUCUUGUAUGAGUAAAUUGGUCAAACAAGAAAAGCAAAAGAAAAAUAGAGAAGUGAAGCGCAAGUAAUGGAAUUUUAGUAUUUUGUGAUAAUAUUUAAGGUCAACGAUACUACGAUAGUGAAUAAAAAAACAACAAAUGAAUAUUUAUUAAACUUGAAAUGCCGCGUUGGACUUUACGUGGGACGAUGGUGUACGUGUGAAUGUGUGAUUAUCACGAGUUGUCUGUCAAAAUUUAAUCAUCAAACAUUAUUAUUAUUAUAUUGUAAAAUUUAAUUUAAUUAUCAAUUAUAUGUGUAAUAUCCAAAUUUUUGUAAGAGAAUCACGUUGUUAUAUGUAGACUUUGUAUAUUAUAUACACAUUAUAAUGUGUGAACAAACGAACAAUACGUGAUUUUUUAGUCCAAAGUUAGGUGCCAAUGACUAUCAAAUCAUUUGCGUCUUCGAUUUUGAAAGAAAAGUAAAUUCUAUUUUCCUUUCUUAAUUUCUUGUAUACAAGCUUUGUAAUCAUCUCUUGAGAAAGGCUUACGUAAAUAGUUUUAAGUUAAUCACCAUAGGCCACAAACUGUUACAAGUUUUUUUUUAAGAUAUUAUUUCCGUUAUUAGGGGUCACCGGUCACCAAACAAUUAAUUUAUCAUAUUAAUUAAAUUAUUCACCUGCAAAUUAUUUGUGGCACCUAAUAUUUAAAUUAUUUAUCAGCACAUAAUUUUGUUCUGUUAUAACAACUAACAUUUCGUCCAACAAAAGUGCUUUUUCAUAGGUUAGUGUACAUAAUUGUAUUAGUAUACAUUAAUACGAGUAUAUAUAUGACAGGUGACAACUUUCACGUAGUAGACGAAAAUGUCAAACUUUGCACACGCAUGAUACGUUGGAUAUUGAUCGUCGACUCGAGACAGAUAUUCGUCUGGACCACUAGAUUACGAGAUUUUAAUAUGUUUGCAUAAUUCUAGGCAAUAGCAUAUGAUUUCUUCAGAAUUAUUCUAGAAAAUUAAAGUGGUCUAUACUUAUACUCCAGCUCCAUUUUUAAAAGUGCCAAUAAUCUAUUUGAAACGUGUAAUGCUUUUGACCAUUUAUUAAGAUUUGUGUUGGUUCAAGUGGACAAUUUUUUUAGUUUAUUUACUCAAGAUUUAUAACAAAAAUAUACAUAUUUUAAAAUUGUGUUAAUCAAUCAUGAUACAACCAUAAUACUCAACAAUAAUAAAGUGCAUGAAUGCAAUGGUAAGGACUUCUUUUCAGAGAUGAUACAAUUUUUUUAGUUUAUUCAUUGAAGAUUUAUAACACAAUAUACAUAUUUAAAAUUUGAACCAUAAUAUUCAACAAUAAUCAAAUGCAUGAAUGCAAUGGCAAGGACUUCUUUUCAGUUGAUUUUCUCCAGAUUUAUAUAACCAAAAAUAUACACAUUACAAAAUGAGUAAUUUGCUGUAUAUAAUUAAUUUACCGAAAAAAUACAGUGAAAUUUUCGUAUAUAAAAGGUUUUUUAUUUUAUUACGCAUGAUUUUUUCUAAAGAGUGUGUCAAAGAAUAAAAUAACAUAAAAUAUUUCAAAAUCAAGUAUAAAAAUCUACACUAUUUUGAAAAAUCACAAACGAAUAUGAAUAAGAAUAUUUACCAAAAUAGCAUCCAGCGAUUUUGCAUUAAAAAAAAAAAAACCAUGCUCAUUUAGUGGUGGUAUCAUUAUUAAAAAUGUGUUAAUCAAUCAUGAUAUCUCUAUAUUAGCAAAAGAGAAGUACACAUGAGAAAAUGGGCUGCCUAUAGCGUUAUACCUAUACUAUAGCGUUUCAAUUCCUAUCCACCUGUACUUUCGACCUCUGCCCAAUUCACCCUAUACUUGUUUUAAACUUCAUAAUUCCACCUAAACUAUUAAAUUCUCCAUAAUUAACCAAAAUCAAGAAUUUUCUAUAAUUGCGAUUAAAAAUCGUUCAAAUUGCAGUAAAAAAUCUGUGUUUAUAUUAAUCUGAAGUUGACCCGACAAAACAAAUGAACACGAGUCAAACCCUUAUGGUGAAAGAAGUCUUCGAAGUUGGUCGGAUCUGACUCGGGUUGGCCUACAGUAAACGCGAUUUGAACGAUUUUUAAUCGCAAUUAUAGAGAAUUCUUGAUUUUGGUUAAUUAUGGAGAAUUUAAUAGUUUAGGUGGAAUUAGGAAGUUUAAAAUAAGUAUAGGGUGAAUUAGACAGAAGUCGAAAGUACAGGUGGAUAGGAAUUGAAACGCUAUAGUAUAGGUGUAACGCUAUAGACAGCUCUGAGAAAAUUGACCUUCAGUUUUUCGUAGUAAUUACUUCAAAUGCCAUUUUGAGGAAAUUAGUACUAAUUAUUUCAUUAAGGGUAGAUUAGGGUUAAAUUAGUCAAAGAGAAACGGGUUGGUGCAAUUAAAUUGACCCAUAUGCAUAUGCACUCGGAUCUUAUAAUUUCCAUAUAAUCUAAAAAUCUCAUUAAACAAUUUUUUUUUAUAACUUUAAUUCAAAAACGAUUACUCUAACCUAAUAUAUUUACAUUAACUAUUUUGAUACUAUAUAUUGUUAAGAUUUCUCCUCUCACCUUUGUUUAAUCCUACUUUUAUAAACAUUUAAACCAUUCCAUAAUCAAUAUAUUAAUUAAAAUUUUAAAAUUUCUUUCACACAUACUAUGAUUUAAAUUAUUAAAAACAGACAUAAAUUACUCAAUCGAUGAAUAAAAAAUAAGUAUAUCAAAACAACGGACCUAAUAUCGUUAUUCGACUAUACUAUAUCAAUCUGCUAUGUUACAUAUGAUACUCCAAAACAACCAAACUAAAACAGAUUUGACACUCCUAAAUAAAUUGUUAUAUUUAAAAAAAAAUGUUUAAAAAAUAUACGCAUCACACCAUUAUGUCCUAAGCUAAAUUAGUGUAUUAUGGAUAUCAAGACGGGAAAAUAACGGAUACGGAACAAAAACGGAUAAUUCGGGUAAUAAUAAAAUUUAUACAAACUAUUUUAGAUAACGAGACAAAAUCGGCAAAUUAUAGUAGUUAAAUUUAAUUUCCAGCUCUGAAUAAUUUGGGUAUGGGUCGACUUUGCCUCCGCCUCGUGGAAAAAUAUCAUAAAAUCCGAUAUAGUUAGCCUACAGCUUUAUGCCCUAAAUUUUUCAAGGUCCCUUCUCUCCGCCGGCUGAUAGCCCCAUCGACAGUAAACGAUGUACUAGACCAACGAAAUAACGUCGGUGUGGUGGGACGUGAACAGCUCUCCGGUUCCAAAUGGGUAUGAUGCUGGUCUGGUCGGUCCGUGUAUCAAAAAGAUGUUGGUGGAUUUAGGCCAUAUUGGUCCAGUCACCAUCACUGCCACUGGCGACUUUAGAGGUACCCCUGAAAGACGUCCUGCGAGCUCUCUCUUCCUCUGGAAUCAUUAUUAAAAACGUCGGCAACGAUUAGUUAAAUCUUCUUCUCUCUUUUCUAUAAUUGUAUUACAAGUUAGGGUUUUUGCUAUUGAGUUAUAUCUUUCUAUAAUUGUAGUACAAGUUAGGGUUUUGCUAUAUUGAGUUGCUUCAUUUUUCUUGAACAGGUCCCAAAUUAAGACCUUUUUACGUACUUUCUAUCUUGGACAAUAGAUAAUCCAGCUCCGGCUACAGUAAUGAUCAUUGCCCAUUACCAAGAUUUAACUUACAUGGAUCGCAGUCUCCAAUCGUUAAAGAAGGAAGGGUACACCUUUGUCAAGGUAUAUGCUCACCCUAUUGCCACUUGCACUGUUUCAGGCCCUUUAGGGUUAUACUGGGGAAAGGUACUUUCAGGGUCUUUGGAUAAUAAACCGGAGGCAAGAAGACAGUUUCUCCUGGAGAAGUGCAGUGAAACGAGUGAAACAAAGGAUGAAUCUGCCUGUUUUUUUUGCUUACUAUGCCAUUUUUCCGGCAAAAGCGCUGAAAGUUUCACUGCUCAUCUCUCUAGUGAAGAACAUGCACAGGAAGUAAGCAUCCUCUCUUCUUAUAUCAAUAUAUUUUGUCUACUAUCAAAUAAUUGGAUAAAUGAAUGAUCAUUUCUAAGUGGUUUGAAUUAAAAAAUUAACUGUGCAUUUAAGUGUAGACAUGUCAUUCUCACGAGUAGAAGCAGUUGCACAUAUUGAAUUAGUUAACACACUUUUCCAUCUCAAAAUGGUAAAAUUUUAGAUUCAUCUUUUAUUCAUCCAAUCCAAGUGUAUAAUUCAUUACAUUGGUCCAUUUGAUUCAACAGCCUCUUGUCGAUACCUAAUUUGACCCCAUGUUAUCCUUUGCCCACUGGUCUCAAGCAGGAGUUAGCUAAUGUUUCUGUGGGUUUACCCAAAGGCAUGAAGAUGAUUGGAGGCCGAGCUGUUCAGGCUUCUCUUGAUUCUCAUCGAAAGAAUGUUGGAGAUACAAUCCAAGUCCCACAUCGGAAGUUUGAUGGGACAAUCAAUAAUAUAUAAAGGGUUAGGGCCAAUCCACUAAUUGCCAAUUGGUUUUUAGUUGGAAGCCCAUAAUUAGCCCAAAUUUAACAUGGUAUCAAAGCCCAAAGUUCAAAUUCUGGUGGACCUAGAAAAGUGGAUACGGACAUACCUCAAACCCGAGUAAUGGGGGCCCGAGAAAGGGGCUUAUUAUCGGUCCGAGUGAGGGAUCGAGGAGGUGUGUUAAGAUCCAUGUGGUCCUUGGAUUGAAGAGGAGAUUGUUGGAGAUACAAUCCAAGUCCCACAUCGGAAGUUUGAUGGGACAAUCAAUAAUAUAUAAAGGGUUAGGGCCAAUCCACUAAUUGCCAAUUGGUUUUUAGUUAGAAGCCCAUAAUUAGCCCAAAUUUAACAAAGAAUGCUACUUAUUCCAUUGUGAAAGAGCGACCAAAGUCUUUAAAGUUGAUGCUAAGAAUUAAAAUGAAGAAAAAGAUGAAGAAGACGAAGAAGAAGUUGAAGAAGAGGAGUACCAAAUGAGCACACAGAGACCACGAAGGAGAAGAGAAGGAGAAGAGGAGUACGUACGUACGUGUCCCAUGGGAUGUUUAAUGUUUUGUUCUACUUGUAGCGGUUGGGUUAUAAUAUUGCAAGAACAUAAAUAUAUAAACUGCUAAACUAUAUUGAGCAUCUACAUUUAUAUUAUAAAAGAAUUGAGUGAAAUUACAAUAUUGAUAAUUCAUUACUUCAAAACCAAGCAUGAAAAUAAAUGCAAAAUAGAGCCUUGAUAAAUUUCCAUGGUUAGGGUACAUUGGCUAACAAUGGAGGAACAAAGCUUGAUCCUUUAAGAGUCUGCUCAAAUAUGUGACCCACUUUCAGCAAUUUCUCCUAAAACCAAUCAACAAAUCAUCAUUUGAAGCUUAAUCUAAUCUUUAGAAUAAGCGAAGAGUUUAUAUAACAAACCUCAUCAAACGCUGCACCGAUCAUUUGAAGACCAACAGGAAGACCCGAGGGACCGCCUUCGACUAAUCCACACGGUAAUACCAUAGCAGGAAGCCCUGCAAGAUUCACAUUGACCUGCAACAAACCUCAUAUGAUACAAACUAUUUGUUUCGUGUAACGACGAUUAUAGAGAGAAUGAAACUAAGAAACAUUUAUACCGUCAUAAUGUCUCCAGCAUACAUUGCCAGUGGAUCAUCUUUCUUUUCACCAAUCUUGUAUGCAGCAGAUGGAGCUGCCGGAGAAAUAAGAAUAUCGUUCUGUUCUAACGCUGCUUUGAAGUCUUUUCGAAUUAGUGUUCUCACCUAUAUGACAAACAAAAGAAAAGUAUAUAUAUUUAUCGAUCAUAAAUAUCUAGUGACUGCAUUUGAAGAUGCGGCUUACCUGUUGAGCUCGCUUGUAGUAAGCAUCGUAGUAACCCGCAGAGAGUGCAUAUGUCCCCAUUAAAAUUCUCAUUUUCACCUUAGGAAAUCAAAAUUCUCUCUGAUCAUAAUCAAACACUUGUUGAUUAAAUCAGAUGGAGUAAUUUCUGAAAUCAUACCUCUCCUCCAAAUCCUUCUCCACGGGAACAUUCAUACAGCUUAUUGAGUUCUUCAGCCAUAACUUGAUUUCCAUAUCUUCAUUUCCAAUACAAGAAACAAUAUCAUUUUAUACAUGCCUGAUGCAAUCAUAUUGUGAGUCAAGUCGUAAUACCGAGAUUACCUGACACCAUCAUAACGUGAUAAAUUCGAAGAUGACUCCGAUGAGGCAAUAACGUAGUAAGCUGGCAGUCCAAGAGAGAAUGAAGGAAGGGAGACCUGUAAAUUUUGGCAACAAAUCUCAGAAACUUAAAGAACAAACAAAACGAAAAAGAAAAACCGAGACAAAGGAAUUAAUGAAAAAAACCUCUGUCAAUACACAACCCAAUGCUUCUAAGUGAGACGCAGCUUCCUGAGUAGCAGAUCUCACUCCAGAAUCAACACCGUCUUCGAGUGUCUCGCGAAUUAUACCAACUUUCACUCCAUUCAAUGGUUUAGACUCAAAAUGAUCCAUAGAUAGAAACUGAGAUUGGAACUCAGGCACAUCCUGAACAAAGAAAAUAUGUUUCUGUUGCAAAGAAAAGAUCUUUCGCUCAUUACAAUGCAGGAAACCAACUACAACAAGAGACCUUACUUGUUUGCUACUUGUGGAGUCAAACCUAUCAUACCCAGAAAUAGCAUGAAGAAGCAUCCCAGCAUCAGCAACCGUAGACCCAAAACACCCAAUCACAUCCAACGAAGACGCAUAAGCCAUAAGUCCAAACCUAGAAACACGCCCAUAAGUCGGCUUAAGACCAACAACACCACAGAACGAAGCUGGCUGUCUCACACUUCCGCCAGUAUCACUACCAAGCGACACCAUACACUGUCUUGCUGCAACAGCUGCUGCUGAUCCUCCCGAUGAACCUCCCGGUACACGACUCAAAUCCCACGGAUUCACAGUUACCUUUAAACCAAAACCAAACCCCAAGAUUCAAUCCCUAAACCAUCACAAGCUCCCCAAUAAGACCAUCUUCAUCUAUCCAAACAUAAAGGCUCCAACUUUAUUAACAUUCCUGAAUCAUUCAAUCCUAAACCAUCACAAGCUUAGCUUCCCCAAUAACACCAUCUCCAUCUAUCCAAACAUAAAGGCUCCAACUUUAUUAACAUUGCUGAAUCAUUCAAUCCUAAACCAUCACAAGCUUCCCUAACAACACCAUAUUCAUCUAUCUAAACAUAAAGGCUCCAACUUUGUAAACAAUCAUCACAAGAUUCAUAAGACAAACCUGAAAAGCAGAAGCUUCAGUGGUACUUCCCAUUCCAAAUUCAUCCAUAUUAGUCUUACCAACAACAAUCCCACCCAACUCUUUAAUCUUCCUAACCGCUGUAGCAUCGAACGGAGGACGAUAAUGCUCCAAGAUUCUCGAGGCGGCGGUAGAAGGCAUACCUUGAGUACAAAUAUUAUCCUUAACGCCGAUCAAAACUCCGGCGAGAGGACCCAAUUCUUCACCUUUAGCGAUUCGUUGAUCAAUCUCUUGAGCAUCUUUGAGAACAUUCUCCGAUACGUGAAGGAAGCAUUUGAGCUGAGGUUCAGUGAGACGGAUACGAGAAAGGUAAGAUUUUGCGAUUUCGACAGCUGUGGUUUCGCCGGAGAGAAGAGAACGACGAGUGGUGAGAAUCUGAGAUUGUGGAGGAGAGAUAACGGAGGUCGUCGAAGAAGCUGCAGAUACAAUGGUUUUGGAGUUUCGAAAUCGGCGGAGAGGGAGGAGAGAUAGAGAACGCGGCGGUUGCAAUGUCGAUAACAUUGCUUCACACAAAUCAAAGUUUUGAUUUUGAAUCACUGAAUCAUCAAAUUGGGGAGAUACUGAGGUUAAAAUUGAAAUUGGGUACUCGAGUUAUAAGUUAAAGAAGGAAGAAUUCUCCGGUGUAACGCCGGAGAAAAUGUUUCGGCGGCGGCUGUUUGAGGAAGGAGAAUAAGACUUUUUUCAGUGUUUACUAAUCUGUUCAAAAAAUGGAGAGAGGAUUUAUUAGUGGGCCGAAGUUAAAUGGGUAUAUAGUUUAAAGCCCAAUAAAAGUUUUUUUUAAUCGUUAAAGCCCAAUAAAAGUUAAGGUUGCGAGAUGGUGUACAAGUAGAACAAGUGUGUUAUGAGUUAAGAAUCUUUGAUAUAUACCGGCUGCGAUUUUGGGAUGUUGUUCGUUUAACAAUCGAGUCGCUGCGACUAAUCAUUAUUUAAAAAGUCAUAUCGCUAAUUUUUUUUGCGAUUAAAAAUAUCAGUCGCAAGUCGUAGCGAUUCUGCGACUGCUAAACGAACAACUUUCAGUCAAAGAACAGCACCAUAUUCUUUGCUAUGCUCUUGAUCGAACUACCCAAUCAAUGUUAUUCGUAUGACGUAAAAAUUGAAAAUUAUUUUAAAAUAUGACGAAAUUAUGUCAAAAUUUAUCAUCAUUGGUUAAUUGUACUUUCCUUUGUUGACAUGUUUUUAGACAUGUAGUAUUAGUCAUUAGACAUGUUUUAAGGAUGUGACACUAAACAAAAGAGCUCGAUAUAAUAAUUUGCAAAUGGGGUAAAUAAACAAAAUCAAUCAAAUCAAGACGAUAAAGUGUCAAAAACUUGUACGGAAAUUAAUAAUUACAUUAGCUAUAUACUAUAAAUUACUUAUAUAAGAAAAAAAAAAAGUGAAAAAAGAGCCAAGAAAUAAGGACUGCAGGAACAUUCAACUCUUGGCCAGAAGGUUGAGUUAAUAAAUUGUUCAAGAAAACCAAACUCAUUACUAACUUUACUAUUUAAUCCGUACGGCUCAUUGUAACUUGCAAGAAUCAUUUAUUAAAUAUCAUCAUUGUUUUCAAUUCCAAGAACAUCUCAUUGGAUUCAUUUAACUGAUUAAAAGGAAAAUAUAAGUCUCUUUUUAAUUUUGAUUCACAAGUUUGUGGAUAAGAUAGUAAGAAAAUAUGAAAAGAAUAAAAGAUACUCUCUCCGUUUCACAAAGAAUGUUGUUUUAAGAUUUUAUUUUUGUUUCACAAAGAGUGUCGUUUUAGGUUUUGAAUGCAAAAUUUAAUGAUUUUUAUGUUUUAUGACUAUUAGUAUUCUGCAUAUUGUUUUAUUAUUGGGCAAAUUAUGUUUAGAUAUAUAGUUAAUGAUGUUUUUGUUUAGAAAAAAUAAAAAAUUUAAUGUUUUCUUAAUCUGUGUGCAAAACUCUAAAAUGACACUCUUUGUGAAACAGAAGGAGUUUAUAUAUGCUUAUAAUUAAACAGAGGGAGUAAGAAACUAAAAAUGAAAAUAUUUAUAUAUUAAAUUUUUAGAAGGAUAUUUAACUCAAUAUAAUUAAGAAAUUUUGAAGAAAAGCUUAUAAUUAUUCUGUUAUUCCUAUUUAACGUAGAGAAAAAGAGAGUUUUGGAGAAUUGAUUUUCUUAGUAUCUCUAUACUAUUAAAAGAGAAGUACAAAUGAAAAUGGGUCGGGUUAAAAUCAGAAAAUUGACCCGAAAUUAUGAAAUCGGAUCUUUGAAAUUUUUUUGGAAUAUAAAUUCGAAUUAAUAAUGAAAAAUCGAAAUAAAAUAAAAUAUUUAUGGAAAUCAAAUAAAAUCUAAUUGUACUUAUGGUAACUAAUAAUAAAAGCAUAUUCCAAACAAUAAUAUACAUUAAUUACGUAUAAUAAAUUUGUUCAUAUAUUUUUAGGACUAAUUCCAUACAAUCAACGUUUUUGUCAUUAAUUUCGCUCAUUUUAGUCAAUUAUCAUUAAUUGAAAGAUAUUUUACUUGCUUCUAAAGAUUUCUAGAAAAUUUAUCACAAAUAACCCCUGUUCUAAAAAUCCCCGCCUAGAUCCGAUUACUCCCCGCUUAAUCGCUAGGCCCACCCUAUCCGCCUCGAUCAAUGACUAAUCCCUUAAAGAAAUCAGUCACCCGAUUACUCUCCGCCUAAUCCGAUUACUUCCCGCAUAAUCCGAUUAUUUUCCGCCUAAUCUUAUAUACCCCGAUUAUUUUAGAUUACUAGUAUAAAAAAAACUUUUUAUUUUUGUUAUUCAAUCAUUUGAAUUGGGAGUUUGUAAUGUUUUACAAUAACUUAUGUUCAAAUUUUAAUAAAAAUCAUAAAUUUGAAAUAAAAAUCAUAAAAAUUUGUCUCAAAAAUACAUUUUUAUGUGUUUACUGCAAUUUUGAAAAUAAUAUUAGAUUAAUAUGUUUUAAAAAUAUUAAAAUAACCCUAAAACUAAUCCCCGAUUUUAAUCAGAUUUUCCGAUUAAUCGCUAGGCCCAUGCCGAACGCCCGACUAGCGCCUAGCGAUUUUUUAAACAAGGCAAAUAACCCAUCUGUUUUAUAAAUUAAAUUGAUAUUUUUAUUUUGUUCGUGUAAAUUAAAUAGAUAUUUUUAUUUUGGUCGUGUAAAUUAAAUAGAUAUGAAAUCCAUGUAACUAAUUUUAAUUUAAUUAGAUUAAAUCGAAAUUAUGAUAUUUUCAUACCUAUAACUUACCAAAGAAGUUUAAUUUUCAAUUUAUAAAGAUUUCUUGAAUAUGAUUUUAGAAUUAUUCAACAAGAUGAUAAGUAUUUAUUAAAUUUUGUGAAUCAUGAAAAAUAAUAAUUAAUUUUUAAUCAUUAUACUUCAUCUUUCAAUCUCUCAUCUAGAUACAUAUUCUAUUAUUACUAUGUCCAAACUUCAUUUUGUUGUAUAACUAUAUAAUAUUUCCAUUAGAACUGUCAAAGCGAGUUGAUUCGUCCCGUUAAGUCCGUUUUGCGAUAGACAAAAAAUAUUUUGACUUGUAGUUAGUCGGUCCGCACGACCCGCGGGUAGCAUAUAUGAAAUACAAACUCGUCCCGCGAAUGUAUGCGGAUUUGCGGGAUUGUCCAUGGAUUUUGUUUAAAUAAUUUUAAAGUAACCAAAAUUUAAAAUACUACUAAAAUAAAUAAAUAAAUCAAAAUACUAUUAAAAGUUUGUUUAAAUUACCACAUGUGGAAUAAAUUAUAAUUUUAUCAAUAAAUACUAAUAUGCGGGCUGAUCCGCCAACCCACGGAUGAAAACUGAUUAAACCUAUGACCCACUGCGAAUUAAUCCAUGUGGCCCGCUUAUUUGCGGGUUUAAUAUAUUUUCCCAAAUCUGCCCCAUAGUGAGAUGAUGUGGGCUGGACCCGCGGUUUUUGACCUAUUUUGACUGCUCUAAUUCUCAUGAAUCGUCUAAUUUUAGAAUUUUAAAACACAAAAUUCUAUUUUGUAAAUCAUAAUUAUUACGAUGGGUAUAUUUAUAAACAAUUUUACAUUUUCUCUACAAUUCGUUAUUAUGAAUAUUUAUAAGUAUACUACACGAUUCGUUCUACUAAAAAACACACACAAUAUUAAACGCAACAUAUGUAAACCAAUAUUCUUCCGCGGUAGACCGCGGGUCCGUUUAAGUCAAUAUAACUCCGUAAAAGAUUACUAAUUGGAAAAAGAAAAAACUUGUCAAACAUAAUUCAGACACGAAUUAGAUAUCUUUUUGUCUACAAACAAAAUUCGAUAUCUAAUGUCGCUAAAAUCUUUUACAUAAAAUCAAAACUUGUUGCAACCGAGUUAUAAAACAACAAAACAAUUAUUUUUGCUUUUGUCUUGGUAGUAAAUACAGUGAAAAGUACAUAAGCCGUCACCUAUGAACAACUAAUAAUGACUUACGGAGUUAUGGAGACAGAGCGUCAGAGCCUAUGAAAGCAACAAAAGAAAGAGAAAAAAUAGCUAUAAAUGAUCGUAAAAAGCUAACUGCGAACCUAAAAACAAAAAGUAAAAAUGUAAAAGAAGAUUUUUUCAGUCUAUACUAAAAAGUAAAAGCCCCUAACUGUCUUAUCUUUAAUUGAACAUCUCAGUAUCUACUUUUAAAAUUCAUAAAACAAAAAUUAUUUAUAAAAAGAAAUUGAAAAAAAUAGAAGAGUCAUUAAAUUCUCUAUACGAAGUCAGAAAAUUCCAGGCAGUACAAGGCUUUGUUUGGUUUGGUUUGUAUUGUCUGUUUGAAACCAAUGACAGAGCCUGAGACACCAAAGUUAGCUAUCUUUGGAUAUAUGCUUAAAUGCUUUGCAUGUUUAUAGAAAGCAUUUCACAUUUAUAGUCACAACCAUAUGUUUAAAACCUAAACUUAUACUAUAGAGUUUAGUUUACACUUUAUACGAUUAAAAUGCCAAUUUAGGAUCGUCAAAACAUUUAGCACAAUUUAUCGUGGUCAUGUAACGUAAUAUCUAUACUUGUUACUUCAAUAGAAAAGCCUUAAGUCUUGUUUUUUUUUUUUGUUCAAAGCCUUAAGUCUUGUUUAUUACUAUAAGUUUGGUGGUUGAACAAAAAAAAACUUUUAAAAAAACAAUAUUGAACAAAUUAACAAGAAAAAUCAUUGGAGUUCCUAAAAUUUAUUUGUUUCUCUCUAUCCGAAAUAUGUUAGUUAUAAAAGUAAAUUACAUUACAAACAUAUACAAAUUUUUAGAUUAAGACAGAUGGAGAAGAAACCAGACUUGUUACAUCCAAAAGGAUUUGAUUUUCUUCUUUUUAAGCAAACACCGACAUCAAAAUCUAUCAACCAACACAUCAAUACUAUUAACCAUCACACAAAAAGUUAACAAACUAACAAAUUCAAUAAUAAUAUAAGAGAAAGCUCCAAAAGCAAAUUCCACAUGAACCCAUUUGACAACAACACGUGUCUAGUAACCAUCACACCCAUUGAUGAACUUGACUCAUCCUCCUCCUUAAGGUUGCUCCACGUUUGUUUAAUUACCGAACUACCCUCUGUCUUCUCCAUCAUGCAAGACUUCAAUCCAACAACAUAUUGCUGAGCUUCUGACACGACAUGCUGACAAAGAUUUGGAUUCUUUGAAGCCUUAAAUCUUGUUCCCAUCUUCUCAUAGAACUUUCUUGAGAAUUCAAGCUCUCCUGAUAGAUUGUUUCCAUUGAUGUAGAGAGCACCAAGACAAGGCAAUGUCUCGAGCCUUCUCGAUGGGACAGUGCCGGUUAAAUUGUUGUCGUUGAGACCAAGAAACCUCAAUCUUUUCAAACUUGUUAAACCUAAAGGAAUCUCACCACUUAAACCCAUCUUUGACAGAUCCAAAAUGACCAAAUUGCCCAUAUUCUCCCACUUUAUUCCCAUCAUGUCAUCACUGCCCAUUGGGUUCCCUGAUAAAACAAGAUCCGUUAAAGAUCGAAUCUUUACGACGUUUUCGAACAACCCUCCAGAGAUUAUGUUGUUCCUAAGAUCCAACAGUGUCAGAUUCUUCAAAAACCCGAUUUCUUGAGGUAACUUGCCUUCUAAGUGGUUAUUGCUUAGGUCAAGCUUAAGCAAUGAAACCAUCUCUCCAAUGGACGAAGGCAAUGUCCCUGAGAUUAAGUUCCGACUCAUAUCCAAGAUCAGUAAAUCCUUAAACCCAUUAAAACAAUCCGGAAUCGUUCCCGUGAACAAGUUUCCCGCCAGAACCAACCGUUUUAACCUAGUUAAAUUGCAGAGACUCGUCGGUAACUUCCCGUUAAACCCGUUUUCAAGAACCACCAAAGACUUCAGCUUUGUGAGACAUCCAAUUGUUUCAGGAAGUUCACCAAUCAAACCAGGAUUGGAUCUAAACUCGAGAGAUUCUAAGUUACUUGCCAAGUUAAUCCAAUCCUCUUUAGGUAUUGUUAUCGGCGAAGUGAAGCAGUUGAAGAACGUGAGAGAUUUCAAGUGCUUGAGCUUGAACAACUGUGGCUUUAUCUUCAAACUUGCACCGCAAGAAAGCGAGUUUUCAUGAACGAGACCUAGGGUUAGAUCCGUGACAUACCACAAGUCACCAUAAAGAUCACAAGAAACACCCUGAAAAUCCAAAAAAAAAGUUUCAAAUUAUUGAAACAAUAAUAAAAAAGGAAUUUUGUUAGUUGUGGGCCAAUUAUUGUACAUAUAUAAUUGAAGCCAAAAACAUUUAAAGAAAUAAAAAUGAGAUCUUAUAUGUAAAUAGGUAUACACUUUGAUGCGUUGAAGCUUAAAAGUUUCACUUACUGGUUAUGGAAAUUUCAAAGGGGACAGAAUUAUUCAGACAACUACAGAACAAAUUCUUGAACAUAAACUUUAAGUGUUCAAGAAAAUCCCAAGAAUCUAGAAAAGAAUAAAUCAAAGAUUUGUAAGAAAGUAAAACAAGAACCUGAAUAGGAGUCCAACCACAAGGGUCAGGGUAAAGAUCAGAACCAUUCCAAGAAUCACCAACAAAUCCUUGAAUAGCUGAGUAAAGAGCUUCUUGUUCUGUUUUCUCCAUCGGAGCUCCAUCAUCAGUGACUUCCGGUGAUGAUUCUCCGGUAACGCACCACCGGAAGGUUAGAAAAAGGAACAAAACAGAGUGAAUCCAAGACAUUGUGGGAAAACAGAGGAAAUGAGAUAGAUAAAACAAAGUUUGUGGAUUUUGGUUUGAGGUUAUCUCUGGGUUUCUUUAUCUAUUGGUGUUAAAAAUAUUUAUUGAAGAGAGAGCGAGAGGUCGUUGGGGGAGUCAAUGGAUUUCUCUUUAUUAUUAUAGCUCAAAAACGUUACGAGAAGGGGAAAAUUAAAUUAAAAGACUGAAAAAAUGAAAAUGAAAUCGAGGGACUGUAACGAGAAAGACAUUUGGUUAUAUGUUGUUGUCUCUGUCACAUAAAAGUAAAUGUGGCAUUUGUUCCCAUAUCCCAUACUCCCUCUGUUUCACAAAGAAUGUAGUUUUAGAGUUUUGCACAUAGAUUAAGAAAACAUUAAAUUUUUUGUUUUUUCUAAACAAAAACAUCAUUAACUAUAGGAAAAAAGAUACUCAGCUACACGAAAUAUAACGGAAUACAUGGCUACACAUGCCAAGUUUAAAAAUGUACAACCAACUACACAAACUAAAUGUAUUGCAUGCCUACAUAUACCAACUAUAUGACGACAUGUGGUCAAUAUCACGAACAUCUUAUUCUGGUAUACUAAUCAUCGAAAUCCGGCGUUGACCAUCGUUGACCGGUAUUGACCAACAAAAAUAUUCAAUUUUUUUUAUAUUUUAAUAUUAAAAACAAAAACAAAAAAUUAUUCUAUUAAAUCUUUUAUUGUAUUGUAUAAUUAAAGAGGAAAACACAUUCUAUAUAGUAUAUUCAACUUAAAUAAAUUUUGUAUAUAUAUUUAAUAAAUUGAUUAUUAUAAUUAGUUAGUUUUUUCAAUUUCAAAACUAAAAUAAAAGUGAAAUAAAAAUAAUUAAGCGAAUUCCUUAUUUUUACAUUGUCAAUAAAAACAUUAACUUCUUAUUUUAUAAAUGUUUUUUGCUAAAAUCAAUAUCGUUAGAUUUUUUAUUUGCUAUAUAUUAAAAAAAACAAAUUACGACCUUUUUUGUUAUUUAUCCGUUAUUGCGAAUUUUUUUUUAAUAAUUUUAAUUACAUAAAUUAAUAAUAUAUUAAAGUUAGACUAAAGAGUAUGUAAAAUUUUCUAUGUUUUUAACUAUGUAUUAUGAUUUUGAUUUUAGCAAAAAAAACUUAAUAUUUUUUAAACAUGCAAACUUUAGAUUAAAGAGUCAUAUACUCAAUUUUUCUAAAAAAAAUAAUAAUAUUUAUUUCAUUUCACUUUUAGUUUAGUUUUGAUUUUUGAAGUUAAAAAAAUUAACUAAUUAUUAAAAUCACUACCGGUCAAUACUAAAAAAAUUAACUAAUUACUAAAUUUUUUUUUUGAAUAUUUACUAAAAAAAUUAACUAAUUACUAAAAAAAAUUUUGAAUAUUUUUGUUGGUCAAUACCGGUCAACAAUGGUCAACGCCGGAUUUCGUUGAUUAGUGUACCGGAAUAAAUGUUCGUGAUGUUAAGCACAUGUCGUCAUAUAGUUGGUAUAUGUGGGCAUGUAAUACAUUUAGUUCGUGUAGUUGGUUGUACAUUUUUAAACUUGGCAUGUGUAGCCAUGUAUUCCGUCAUACUUCGUGUAGCUGAGUAUCUUUUUUCCUUAACUAUAUACCUAAACAUAAUCUGCCCAAUAGUAAAAACAAUAUGCAUAAUACUAAUAGUCAUAAAACAUAAAAAAUCAUUAAAUUUUGCAUUGAAAACCUAAAACGACACUCUUUGUGAAACAAAAAUAAAACCUUAAAACGACAUUCUUUAUGAAACGGAGGGAGUACAUGUUAAUAUACACGUAUCUACUUCUUCAACUUUUUAUUUUUCUAUUUUUAAGUAGAUAUAUUAUUUAUUAACAAUGAAAAAUAAAAUAAAAACAAUAAAAAAAUUGGGCUUACAAUUAUUUUUAGGCUUUAAUACCUAAAUAAUAAGUCAUAAAGCCUUUAAGUUACAAAAUCUUAUAUGGGCCUAAACAUACCUCGAAUAUCCGUUAUCCGACCCAAAUUUUAGGAUUAUUCGUAUUCGUAUUCGUAUCCGGAAUCUCCGUCAUUUUGGUAUCCGUAUCCGUAUCCGUUUGGCCGGAUAUCCGUUUUUCGGAUAAAAAACCGGAUAUGAAUACGGAUAUCCGCGGAUAACAGAUAUAAAUCUCAGGCCUAUCUAGACGAUCUUUGAUCCAGAAGAUGUCGAGCUAAUAAGUGUCCUACAUGUGGGCUCGCCAACUAAGAAAGAUACUCUGGGUUAACAUUUUACAAAAUCAGGAAAAUAUACAGUCAAAUCGGGAUAUCACACUACACGGAUAGAAAAGUCGGAGACCAAUUUAUCUUUUAUUGGCCCAGACAUAAAACCGCUAAAAGCACAUUCUUGGCAAAUGUAGUGUCCACCUAAGGUACGCCAUUUCUUGUGGCAAAUCUUAACGGGUUAUGUACCGGUUAUGGAGAAUUUGCAGAAAAGAGGAAUUGAUUGUGACAAACGAUGUGCUAGAUAUAGCGAAUCAGAGGAAACAAUCAAUCAUACACUCUUUCAGUGCCACCUGACACGACAGAUUUGGGCGCUUUCAAAGAUUUCUACGGCUAUGGAGAAUUUUCCCACGGAAUCUAUUUUUGCGAAUCUGGAUCACUUAUUCUGGAGAAUACCUUCGGAAUUGGAUUCAUCAGUCUUUCCAUGGAUUAUCUGGUAUAUUUGGAAAGUAAGGAAUGCAAAAAUCUUUGAAAAUAUAGACAAAGACCCGUUAGAGGUAUUAUAGUUUGCGAAAAAAGAGGCACAAUUGUGGCAAUCAGCUCAAAUCGAGCUUCAUAAUGAAAAGCAUGGUUCUGUGGAUUUGCUAACUCGGUCUCGAGUGAGAGAUUAUUCACUUGAUUCGAAUUAUUCUGGACACCGUUGCUUUGUGGAUUGAUCAUGGAAAGAAAGUGAUAAGUUCUCCGGUACAUGGUGGUUUUGUAUAUCAUUAAAUAGAGAGCCGCCAACCAUGGGAGCUGCCAACCUUCGUAGAAGGUUAUCUCCACUACAUACAGAAGUUGAGGCCCUUCUUUGGACGAUGAAGUGUAUGAUUGGUGCGGAUAAUCAAGAGGUAGUGUUCUUUACAAACUGUUCUGAUCUGGUGAAGAUGGUAUCUUCUCCAACCGAAUAGCUGGUGUUUUCAGUGUAUUUGGAGAAAUCUCAGAGCGACAAGAAAGAAUUCUCAACCGUUUCUUUAUCUUUAAUUUCUCAUAGUGCUAUGUAAAAGUAGACAAUCUGGCACGAAAAAUUCUUACAGAACCGCUACAUAUCAUAUAUGUAAACAAUAUUCCUGAAAAAUGGCUCAUUUGAUCUCUAAUUACGACAAAAAAAAACUGGCAUUUUAACUAUUUUGGGAGGAUAAUGAUUGAACCGAGACUAAAUCGGAGAAUAAACAUAAACCAAAACCCUCUGAUUCAUUAGAAGGAUAAUUUUGCUGUAUCACACCACACCAGCUCGGAUUUUAAUAUCUCUAGCCCCUUUGGGAAGAUUCAAUUUUUGGAAAACCCCUCUUUAUUCUCACUACCCCCUCUCCUUCCCAAUUUUUCCAUAAACCAACUCUACCCCUUAUCCCUUUAAUUCUACAUUUAAUUUAAUACCAACACAUUUUUUAUUUAACCAAUCAAAAACUUUCUCUCUCUUCUCUCAUUAAAAAAAACAAACCUACUAAAUGUCUCACCUUUUACGACAAUAAACCUACGAGACCUUCUUCUUCUUCUUCUUCAACAUCUCCGACAUUGCAGCUCCGACGUUCUUCAGCAGCUCCGACGUUGCAGCUCCGGCGUUCUUCUUCUUCUUCUUCUUCUUCUUCUCCAUCUACCAUUGAAGCUCACCAUUAAAGCUUGCAUCUCCAAAGACAUAUCUCUUCUCUUCUUCUUCUUCUAUUCCCACCAUACUGUAAGGUAAGUAUACUUGUUUUCUUAGUGUAGUAUGAUUAAGUUGAAUUCGUAUCUCGAAUAGGGUUAUUUAUUGAAAUAUUUUAGGAUUGCAGAUUUGGGACAACUGAAACCACUGGGUACAACAACUAAGUAGAAUAUUUUCGAAAACCCUAAGUUUGGUGCAACUGGGACAAAUGUGUACAACAAUGUUGAUGGUCUGCUACGAAAAUUAUAAAAUUAUAGGCCCUUUUUUCUCUCUGUUUUUUUUAGGGACAAUGAAAAGGAAUUCAGUCAUACUCCCGAUCUUUGGGCACAUGAUUUGUGCUCAAAGUAUUAUUGGAUCGAGCUUUGGGUUUUGGCGUAUACGAGGACAAUUUAUCCGGUUCCCAUAACAGUCAAUGGGUUCUUCCUGAGGAGAUAAUGCAACUGUUUGCAUAUCCUCCGGAUUAUGAGGUAAAACAAGGAGGAAGACAAGAAACAAGAUUCCCCUCCGUUGGAGAACAUAGAGGAAGAGGACGUAAGAAGAGGUCGCAUGGAUCGAGCGGUUUGGGCGUUGAUGGAGACGAUGAUGGAGACGAUGCGGGGGACCAAGGUUAAUUUCUCAGUGCUAUUUAUUAGGUUAAUUUAAGAAACGAUGUUGUUUGUAUUGGUUUUGUUUGUGAAACUUAUAUGUUCUGUGUUGUACAACUAAGUUUUAGCAAGUACAACUAUGGUUGAUUUUCUUCUCGUAUCUGUGCAAAUUUUGUCAGUCUGGGUACAAUUAAGUACCACAAGUACAACUAAGGUCUAAUGCCUUAGCCAAUUUUCAGAAUUUUAUAUAAUAUGAAAAUUUAAAACAAAAUUAAAAAAACUUAAAAAAUGCAUACACAAUGGUAAUGAAACUACACAACAAGUUUUUGACAAAAAAUUUCAUAUUUAAAAAAAAAUACUGAAAUUCUUACUCAAAAUCCCACAUUCAUACACUAACAACCUUAUACUUUCAUGGUUACUUUGUAGAUUUGAACUAAAAUUUUAUAAAUUUUUGAAAUACUUAUAUUUUGAUAAAUAUAAAUGCACAGAUACAAAGUAAUGGUAUUUUUAUGAGGCAAUACCAUCGGUUCCACCAACAAAAAUUAAAUUAGAGUUGAUAACAACUAGAUUUACUAAAAUCUCUAUAUUGUACAACUAUGAGCAAAAAUGUGCAACCGAGUACAACUGUACAACUAUGAACAAAUUUGAGCUAUUAUUUAAUGAUUGUUUUCAAAAUAACGGCGCCAGGUAUACCAUUUGUCAGUUUUUUUUUAAAAUAACGGCGCCAGGUAUACCAAAAUAUCAACUAGAUUCACUUUUUUUUUUUUUUUUUCCAAAACCCUUACAAACCUACAUAUUUGUCAAAUUUUUUGAUUAAUUUAGAAUUUUUUUUUUUUUGGUUCAAAACCCUUAGAUUAUAUUCAAUACAUAGAUUCAUACAUAAAAAUAUUAAGAUUCAGAUUAAAAGAUUCAUACAUAACUAGAAUCAGAUUCAAAGAUUUCAUACAUAAUAAAAAAAACAUAAACCCAGAAACAUAGUUGUACCUAAUCGUACCAGUUGUACCUAAACACUUAGAUUUAUACAUCAAUAUGAGAGACCAAAAUAAGGCUCUUUCUCCUUCUUCUUUUUUCAUAAAGUAAGACUUAGAUUUAUACAUCAACAUCAGAGACCAUAAUAAGAUUCAUACAUAAUCAAAAAACAUAAACCCAGAAACAUAGUUAUACCUAAUCGUACCAGUUGUACCUAAACAUUCUCCAAAGACGGUUCGACUCAUUGAUCUUCCAUGACAUCAUCCUCUGCAGCUGCUGUCUCUGAAUGCUUUGGAUACGAUUGCCUUUGUCUUUUGGGAUUUCUAAGCUCGGCAGAUUAUUCACUUCUAGAACAAGAUGGUUCACUUCUAGAACUAGAAGCUCUUCCUAUGGUAAUAGCCUUUGUAAACCAACCUGCAACAACAAAUACAAAUUCAAUAUCUAUCUACUUACACAAACUCAAACUCACAUAAUCUCAAGAGAUAAAGUUUGGAUUUUUCAACAAAUUUCAAAAAAUCCGAAACACACUAUUUGUAUCUAUCUAAAUGAAAAAUUCAAAUCCGAAAUAUAUAGAGAAAUUCAAGAUCGAACAUUUGGACAAAUUCAAAUCCGAAAACAAGACAAAUUGAAAUCUGAAAAUCAAUCCACAAAUCAAAAUCCUCAAACCCCAACACAAUCCAUCCAUAAAUCAUCAAAACCCAACACAAUCCAUCCAUAAAUCAUCAAAACCCAACACACUCAAACAAAAGAAACCUUAAUCCAUCUGUUUCAAACUUUAAUUAAACCGGAAUCCAAUUAAACCCAACACAACACAAUCAAUCGAAGGAUCCUUAUUAAACCCUCAAAGAAAAAGAAAAAAAAAACAAAUUCAAUCGAAAACCCAUUCAUAAUCCAUCUGUUUCAAACAAAAUCAAACCAUUAUUAUACCCAACACAACACAAUCAAUCGCUCAAAGAAAAAAAUCAAACCAUAUCUCGGAUCAAUCGAAAUAUAUGGAUCAAACAAAAGAAUUUUUACAAAGAGAAGACACAGAGAUUUCUCACCGCGGUUUCACGGUGGAUUUCUCGGAUUCACGGUGGCUAUCUCAGAUUCACGGAGAAACGAGUGAAGAGGAAAGAGGAAGAAGAUGGUAUCGACUGAAACAAGAUAUACAGGAGAAGAAGAAGAGGAUCCAGAAGAAGAAAACGAAAUUUUGGAAGAAGAAGAUGAAGGAGUGGAGUAUGAAAUCGGAAAAUCUCAGUCACCGGUAGAGAGGAAAAGAAAACGACCGACUGUCGAGAGUGGGAGGGAGGAUUGUCGUUUUUGGGAAUUAGGGUUUGUUUGAGAAAUAAGAGAAAGAUCCGAAAUUAAGCCCAAUACUAUUGGAUAUUUGACCCAAACAUAGGUUGAGUCAGUAAAUAAGUCGAAAACCCUCAAUAUAAUUGUCUUUUACUUUUUUUUGGUAGGGAUAUAAUUGUCUUUUACUAAUAUUUCAAAUUAAAAUAAACACUUGUAUAAUUGGAUUUUAAUCUAGUCGGCCCCCUGUACUCAAAAUCCAUUCCAUUUAGCCCCCGUAAUAAAAUUAAUAUAGUUAAUAGUUUAUUUUAAUUCAGAAAAAUAGUAAAAGACAAAUAAAACAAGGAAUUUUCACUUAUUUACGACCCAACCAGUCAGUUGGAUCUAGAUCCAUAUGACUUUCGGAUCUUUUAUCCCUAAAGUCAAUCCAAACACUAAUUUCCAAAUCACCUUUUUUUUAUUUCUCCUCUCUACGACUUUUUCAUCUUCUUCGUUUCUCUCUGUCUCGAGUCAACAAUCCGACAAACACAAAGCUUUCAAUCUCUUUUCUUCUUUUUUUUUCUCUCUUUUCUCGAUUCCAUCGAUACUCAUUCAUCUUUUUCAUCUUCCCUCUUCACUCGUUUCUAUCGAUCCAAAGAUCCGUCCUCUCCCUUCUUCUUCGUGAGAAAUUCGCAGUGAAAUCGAGAAAUCCGCCGUGAGAAAUCCGCCGUGAGAACUCCGCCGUGUCUUCUCUUUGUAAGAUUUCAUUUGUUUGAUCCCUAAUUUUGUUUUAUUGUGUUGGGUUUAAUUAGGAUUUGAUUUCUUCCAAUUUAUUCUUCUAUGUGAGGGUUUGAUAUGUAAUUCUCUUUGAUUUUGUUUGAAACAAAUGCAUUUUGAAUGGAAUUUCGAUUACAAUUAGGAUUUUUUAUGAUUACAGUUCGGAUUUUAAGAUUACUAAUAGGAUUUGAAUUACAAUUCGGGUUUGAAAUUCGGACGACAUGUAGCUACUUUUUCUUGUUUUUAUUUGGAGAUAUUGAGUGAAAGUUGUAACUUUGUUUGUAAACUCUUCUUAAAAUGAUUGAUUUCUCUUGGUCAAUUUUGGAAGAAAUCUGGUUUCAAGUAAGUUAAUAAGGAGUGGAUUGCAGACAUAGAUGAAAUUUUUUGUACGUAUAUAUUAGCCUAUAACAUUUGUUUCUCUAUUACGAGAGGAGGAAAAGGAAAAGGAGACUGAGACUGAGACUGAGAAGGAGAAGGAGAAAGAGAAGGAUAAGGAGAAGAAGAAGCAGAAGAAGACUUGGUGUGUUCAGAUGUGUUUUGGUUUCUAAUGUUAUGUAUGAAUCUAAGUGUUUAGGUACAACUGGUACACUUAUGUACAACUAUGUAUCUGGGUUUGUAUGAAUCUAAGUUUUUUUGACAGAAAAAUCACCAAAAAACUAUGAGUCAAAGUGUUUUGAUC
This 52313-nucleotide long non-coding RNA is filed under the name Arabidopsis lyrata. RNAcentral's name for it is "long non-coding RNA (ALYR_LNC001549)". The record is from RNAcentral. Lineage: Eukaryota; Viridiplantae; Streptophyta; Magnoliopsida; Brassicales; Brassicaceae.